AUCAAAGUGCGUUGGGGGACAUAGCAAUCAUUGGGAAGUUGAAGAAUCUAGAAGUCCUUAGCUUUUUGAAGUCUGAUAUUAUGCAGUUGCCCGAAGAACUAGGUCAAUUGAAUAAGUUGAGAUUGUUAGAUUUAACAAAUUGUUUCCAACUGAAAGUUAUUGCGCCCAAUCUCAUAUCAAGCUUAACUCGACUAGAAGAGCUGUAUAUGGGUAAUUGCUUCAUUGAAUGGGAGGUUGAAAGAGCCAACAGCAAAAGAAGUAAUGCUAGCCUUGACGAAUUGAUGCAUUUACCUCGGCUAACCACUCUAGAAAUUGACGUUAAAAGUGACAAUAUUUUACCAGAAGGUUUUUUGGCCAGAAAGCUCGAAAGGUUCAAAAUAUCUAUUGGAAAUGGGUUAUUCAUGCAUCCCAUGAGUGUUGGACAACAUUGGUUUAAAAGUCGGCCGCGCUUUUCGAUCAACAGUGAUCGCAAGAGUUUAAGAUCAUUGAAGCUCAAGCUUGAUUUUAUGGACAUUUGCUCCAUGAAAUUGCAGGGCAUCAAUAACGUUGAAUACUUAUGGUUGGACAAGCUGCAAGGCAUCGAGAAUGUUCUUUUCAAUUUGGACACGGAGGGCUUUUCACAAUUGAAGCUUCUCUGGGUUCAAAAUAAUCCUGACGUCUUUUGUAUCGUCGAUUCAAGGGAGAUGGUCGCUUGUGAUGCCUUUCCUCUUUUGGAGUCACUUACCAUUCACAAUUUGAUCAACAUGGAGAGGAUAUGUAUUGAUCGGCUCAAAGUAGAGUCUUUCAACAAACUCAAAAACAUAGAAGCAUAUAAUUGUGAUAAAUUGAGUAAUAUCUUUUGGCUCUGUACUACAAAAUGCCUUCCAAGACUUGAGAGAAUUGCAGUUAUUAAUUGCAGCAAGAUGAAAGAGAUUUUUGCAAUUGGGGAAGAAGUUGAUAAUGCAAUUGAGAAGAUAGAGUUUGCUCAAUUAAGAUCUUUGAGUCUGGGGAAUCUUCCAGAGGUUACAAGUUUUUGCUGUGAGGUGGAGACUCCUUCAGCAUCACCGAACAGACAAGUGUCACAACACGAAUCGACGACUAUGUUUUGCUCCAGCGAAAUCACUUUGGAUAUUUCAACUCUGCUUUUCAACGAGAAGGUGCGUAGGCUAACAUUUUCUUUAUAUAUAUAUAUAUAUAUAUAUAUAUAACAGACUUUAUUCUAUCAUACGUUCUCUUUUGAUGUCAUACGUGGAAAAUAAAUACAUCAUUUAAAGAAUUGAAAGAAAAUGGAAAAAAAGGAUAAAAAGAAUCUCACGCGCUCACUAAUUAAGCUCUUAACAAGUAGUAUGAAUUAGAAUGCAUUCUCAGCUGUCAGUUGGAAAUUGAUUCUGACUUGCAUUAUUUUGUAAUCAAAGAAGAAAAUUUCAACAAGUGCUUCCCAUAUGGAUGGAUCUAACGAGAAAUUCUUAUUUUUUUAGGUUGCGUUGCCUAACUUGGAGGCUUUGGAGAUAUCUGCAAUUAAUGUCGACAAGAUUUGGCACUACAAUCAAAUUCCGGCGGCCGUGUUUCCUCACUUUCAAAGUUUAACACGAUUAGUUGUGUGGUACUGUGACAAACUGAAAUACAUAUUUUCAGCGUCUAUGAUCGGAAACCUCAAGCAGCUCCAACACCUAGAAGUACGCUUCUGUGAGGAUUUCUGAGAACAGAGCAGAUGAAGUGAUCCCUUAUUUUGUCUUUCCACAGCUCACCACUUUGAGACUCCAAGGUCUACCAAAACUUAGAUGUUUGUACCCUGGAAUGCAUACUUCGGAAUGGCCCGCGCUAGAAAUUCUUUCAGUGCAUCGUUGUGACAAAUUAAAGAUAUUCACUGAAGAUUUAUCGCAGAAUAAUGAGAACGAUCAACUUGGCAUUCCUGCACAACAGCCCCCAUUGCCGUUGGAAAAGGUAUGAAGCCAUUUUCUAGAUUUUUUGUCUACAGCUUAUUUUUAACUUUGAAAAAUAUGGCAAAGCAUCGAUAAAUUAAUACUCAAUAAAUUGAAAACUUUUAUUAUACAAUAAUCUUUGUUAGUCUAGAUUAAGAGAUCAAUGUGGUAGAUUAAUAAUUAUAUGAACUUUUUUUGGUAGAGCAUUUAUAAAAGAAUCCUUAGUCUUUCCAUAUAGAAGAACUUACAAAAUAAAUUAGUAAUUUAUUAUUGUGCAAUAAAAUAAUUUCGAGCCAGUAUAAAUCAACCUUUUUCCCUAAUUUCUUUUUUACCUCUAAAAUUAACAUAUAAAAUAAAUUUUAUCAAUAAUUCAAUUUUUUUAAAAUAUAAUAUAAAACAAAUAUUAUAAAGUCACUGCGUGUGACCGUAGAUCAUCAAUUGACCUCAUUAGUUAUUAUGAUUGAUGAUGAUCAGAUCGUACCCAACUUGAAGGAACUAUCACUAAGUGGAAAAGAUGUGAAGAUGAUUUUGCAGGCCGAUUUCCCACAACACCUUUUUGGCAGUCUUAGAGAACUAGAGAUUGCUGCAGAUGACACAGCUUGUUUUCCAAUCUGGAACGUACUGGAGAGAUUUCACAAUCUCGAAAUACUCACACUGUCUGUUUUUUUCAUUCGACGAAGAGGUAUUUUCGAAGGAAGGAUGCUUGGAGAAACAUUUGGGGAAGUUGGCAAUGAUAAAAGAAUUAAAGCUGUACCGGCCCUAUCAUCUGAAGCAGCUGUGCAAACAAGAUUCCAAACUUGGCCCCAUUUUUCAGUAUCUUGAAAUUCUAGGAGUAUAUCAUAGUCAAAGUCUGUUAAUUCUAUUGCCAUCAUCAUCGGUAUCUUUUCGGAACCUAGCAAAACUUGUAGCUUUCGGUUGCAAGGAAUUGAUACACUUAGUAACAUCCUCCACAGCAAAAACUCUAGUGCGACUGGUCAAAGUGCAAGUAUAUGGAUGCAGAGCAAUGACAGAGGUGGUAAUAAAUGACAAAGAUGGAGUUGAAAAAGAAGAGAUUGUUUUCUGCAAAUUGAAGACGUUGCAACUGUUUGAUUUAGAUAGCCUCACAAGUUUCUGCUCUGCCAAUUACACCUUCAAAUUCCCAUCUUUGCAAGAGUUGUGGGUGAUUGGUUGUCCCAAGAUGAAGACUUUCACUACAGGAGAAUCAAUCACGCCUCUAAGAGUAAACGUCUGCUAUGGAGAGACAUCGAAUCAACGGCGUUGGGCUAAUAAUGAUCUAAACACAACCAUACAACAAUUACAUGCUGAGAAGGUACGUAUAUACAUAUUACUCUCUAUCUCCCAUGAUAAUUUUUUACAAAAUUUGCUUUCUUAAAUACAAUAUAGAUAAGAUAUUUGAUGAAUAAGAAUUUUACUUUCAGCUGUUGGCGGUGUCGUCGUCAUACUCUACGCAGUACGACUAAUUUCAUAGGCUUCUUAUGACUUGGAGUUGCAAAUUUUUAGAAGAAAGUCUCAACUGGUAAUUAAUUUUUAUUUCAUUUAUUUAAUCCCAUGGCUUGUUUCGCAAUUUCAUCUGAAUUAUUUAGAAUGGGUCCCUCGGUUUACUGUUAAAUUUGCAAUGCAAUUUUAAUGAUCCUUUCAGACUUUUAUGGACAGAUUUUGCAUAGUUGAAUGUCUUUUUAGUCUACUUUAAUUUGAGUUUUUCAUUUUUUUUUUAGAGCUCCCCUUGUUUUCUAAAAUUUUAUAAUUCCUUGCAUACUUUUUAUGAUAAAAUUUCAUUAAAAGCCUUCAUAUUUUAUAAUUCAUUGAAAACGUGCAUACUUUUUCCUUUUUUUUCUUUGCCAAUUAUUUAUUGUCAUCAUUGCUGUUCUUUUAUUUUAGUUUGUGCUCUGUUUGUUCAUUGGGUUUGCUUUUCGGAAAGUUAGAAGGCAAGGAAAGUACUUAGAAAAUGUUCUUCCCUAUGAACACAUAAUUCACAGCUGAAUAUCAUUCAUUGGAUUCAAAAAAAUUAAAAUAAAAAAAAAAAGUAAUCAGCCCAUUAUUCCCAGAACAAAUCCUUAAACCAUCAAACGUUAGCUAUGAACAAGUAUAUUGGUCUAUAGCAUAUUCAUAAUAUUUUUUCUGCUGUUCUGGUUAAAAUUUCUCUACUCUGUGAUUGCAGAAUGUCUGGAUACUGAUGAAGAUUUAAGUCACUCUUCUUCUGUGAAUAAGGUCGUUUUUCUUUUUUCCUCUAUUCAAAAUUUCCAUUCUGAGGGGUUCCCAUUUCCAUCUUCGUGAUCUUCUUGUGAUAGUAUGAGUUACAACCUGUCUGUUUCCUUUAUUUGAUCAUCGCAAGUUCAAAGACAUUUUAUUCUAGCUAAGCUCUUUGUAUGUAUUAUAACAUUUUUAUUCUCAAUAUAUAGAACUCAAUGAGAGGUCUUUUAUUAUACAUGUGUCAUGAAUUUCUAUUGUAUUUUGAGAUUUGAUGGUGUGUUAUCGUCCCAUUGCAAGGUCUUGUAAUCACUCUGAUUCUCAUUUGAGGAGGUUGGUCUCGUCUAUGUGUAUGUAUUUAUAUCCACAAGAAAUUUGAUAAAUGGUCUGGUCAUUUUCUCAUUAAAACAUCUAGUGCUUCAUAUGUUGGAGGGCUACCAGGCAUCAGGGCCAGAUUUUUAAACUCUUCUUCGUGUCAUUUUUUAACAAUAAUAAGGAAGCCCAAGAGAAAAUCUAGAAGUCCUAAUAAGGACCGCUUCUGUAUUGUUCAUUUUCUUAAUUACCUUCAUUAUUAUUUUCGUUUUCAGUUGAUCAAACUUCAGUUCCUUAGCAUUAAUCUAAUUAUGUACUUCAUCUAGAAAUCCUUAAUUUACUCAUCAAAAUGUGAACGCUUAGAAAACUAAGGCAAUAAAUAUAAAGGUACUACCUAAGUUUAUCAUCACAUAUGAUCACCACUUGAUAAUCAAAUAAUCAUAAAAGCAUAUAAAUUCAAAUUAGUGUAUCAUUUACACUAUAAGAAAUAGUUGUAUUACCGACCAGACAUUUCCACAAUAUACUUUUUACACUAUAAAUGCUUUUGAUGGGCUUCAUCUUUGGUUUCGGCUUCGCCGACAAAUAUCUCACAAACAUUCUGCCUUCAAGCAACAACACAACUCCCACUCUAAAUGUAUUUUAUACACUCUCAAACGCACCGUUUUGAUUUGUGUUAUAAAUUUGACGCUGCCAUUGUUUUUUUGUUUUUGACAGGCAUGGCUUUUCUUUUUAAGCCUUUCCUUUUAUCUUUUAUAGCCAUCUUCCACAUCAUUUCUCUUCCAAGUAAUCUUAAGAAAUAUUUCUGUUCUUCUUCCAAGUAAUCUUAUCAUUUCUCUCAUUUUAUUCGUUCUUCUCUUUUCAAGUCUUCAAUCUUAUACUCAGUAAAUAUAUUAAACUGCUUUUUCACUUCAGUUCCAGACAACUGAGAAGGUGUUUGUCCCUACUCUCUAGUUUUAUUCAAAGACACUAUAUUUUCGAAACCUAUGAUUUGUUGGGAAAAAUCGACGGUGACCCACGUGACAAAAUUUUCUACUAUGUAUCAACCAAUUAGAUCCAGUGCUUUGUUGGCAAACAAGACAUGCUUAUUUACCUUUAAUACUCCACCCAGACAAGUUGCCACUGAUAGUUCAUAACAAUGCUACGUGUAACUUGAACAUUUGAUUACGUGAUGUACUGUAUCAUUCCAACCAUAUCAUCAUCAGCCACUUCCCUUAUAACGAAAUAUAGAUUACAACACUUAUCAAGAAGGACAAUAAAUUCUUGUACCACCAACAACAUUCUCAAAUACAAAAUCUAUAAAUUUUUCAACGCCAUCAGUAUAUGACUUGGAUAUCUAUUUGGCAAACCAACCCAACACUUGUCCAUGACUAUCUCCUUUUAAUGCGCUAAAAAAAUUAGUUCUUCAUUUCUACUACUAAACAAGAUAUUUUCGUGUGUGCACAGUUUUGCAAUAUAAUAAAAAGAUCAUUUUACAAUUUUAUGGUUAAUUUCAUUAGAAUUUACAUAUAUGAAAGCAAACAAAGCCACAAGAAUCAGAGAAAAAGAUGUGACAAUCAAAGUAUAUAAUCAACGAUAAUUAAUGUAAAAAACAGUUUCCAAUACCUUCUGUAAAGAAAUAUCCUUGCCAAGUGCUGAGAACUUCACUUGGCUAUCAAUUACAGAUAUAUAAAGCCUGUAACCUAGAAACAAAAAAUUAGGUCAGCAAGUCCUGAAACAUUUUUAUAAACCAACAUUGGAGAUAGCACUCCAUUUACAAACAAAAUUACAAGCUCAAAACCAAGGUCAACUCAGCAAAAUCAUCACCAAUUACAUUCAUCCAACUCAGCUCCUACACUACCCUCAAUAUAUCCAACAUUCCCUUCAUAUUUACCAACCGUAAGUAAUCCUACAUAUCCCACUCAAGAAUGCGUAAGUAUUUUCAAUCUCAAGUACCUAAAGUUUUAUUCUACAUUUAUAAAAAUUUCAGCACCAUCUCCCUAUAAUUCUCCAAGCACGCGACAUAGCUAUAUAAGUGUUUAUGCGUUAUGCCAAAACAACACAACACCCAUUCACCUAGUACGUUCCCAGAGAACACGAGGAGCAGCUACUGAAAAACCCAUUUUUACGUGGGAAGAAACUUCAGCUACUAGCUACCAGAGAGAAGUAUGCAUUCCCAAACUGUCCAAGCCCGGACAAUUCAAGAAUUAUUAAUAGACAUAUGAUCCUCACUAUCAUCCAAAUAUGACACUAAUAAAACAUGUGUCUAUUAAUAAUUUCUUAAACAAGUCUAAGCUUUUAAUGCACGUAUCAAAAGUUUAAAAUUGAAUCUGAAAUUUGAAUAACACAUAAAUAUCAUAAAUCUUUUCAAGUUAUUCCUGAUACAAUGUAGGCAUGUAGCAUUAUUUCACAUAUCAUUUCUUAAGCAAAACCAUAAAAAAAUACAAAUGAUAAAUACAUUUUCGUACUGAUGCAGAUUAUGUUUACUGAGCAAUAAGUUUUAAGUCAUUCAUGUUGAAAUACUUCUUCCUAUUCUUUCAACAUAUAACUAGUACGUACACACAAUUAAUAAAUAAAUAAAUAACCUGGUGGUGAAUCUUGCAAAAUCUUCCUUUUUUUUGUGGGGGGGGGGGGGGGGGGGGGGGGGGGGGGGGGGGGGGGGGGGGGGGGGGGGGGGUGGGGGCGCUAUGAAUCUUGCAAAUCCUCGGGAAGCCAUGUUAAGACAAGGCCAGCUUACUAUUAGGGUAUGAAAGAUAAAACCUUUUAUUUCCUUUUCAGAAUAAAAAGGACAUUGACAGUGUUAAAAAAAAUCUAGAGGAUUUCAGGCCUCCAGAUCCUUACAAAUCAAGGAUAUUAAAAAAAAUUACUUAGAGGAGAAAGGUUAUGCUCAUUUGUAUCUUGUUAGAAGAAAUUGAUCCAAAGCCUCAGUUUUAAUUUGCUUCAUACAGCCAAUGACUAGGUGUUUAAAAACCAAUGAAUAUUUUUAUAAGAAAUCAACAAUAUUGUUGAAAGAAAAACCAAAUAAAAAUAAUAAAGCCAAUGAAUAGAUCAAGGCUCUUUAUGGUCUAAUAACUAAUCAAACUAAGUUGUGGGCAAAGGCGAAUAUGUUUGUUUGGUCGAAAAUAAGCUCAACAAAUCACUAAUAAUCACCUAAUCACUAUUCUUUAUGCUAUGCAAUAUAAUGGCCUGGGUAAUGGCGCCAAGGCAGAAAAUAACUAGCUAGCCAGUUAUGAUAGUUGAUUAACUUAACCUACUGGAAAUCCGAAGACCAAAACGAAGAAGCUUUGCCUAGAACUAGAAUAGGAACAUUCAUACCCAAAACUAAUAUACACGAUUAAGAAACUUGAUUAUAUGUAUAUUUCUGUUGGCCACACUGAAAGAGAAUUUUCAAAAGAUGCUAAGGUACACCAAAUCCCACUAUUUCAUACUCAUAAACACAAAAAACCAAGGAAAAAAUUAAUGACUAUAUAAAAUAAAAUCGGUCAUAGGACAUUGAGAUUAGGACAACUUGAUUUGUAUACCGUAAAAUAACUAUAUCUGCAUAGUGAACUAUAUUUCUGUUAGAACUCUGAAGUUUUCUAUUAAAUUUUUUUCUCUGUUAGGUAAACCACUUAACUGAAAUGCUUAAGCCAAUAUUGACAAUCAUAGACAUAAAAGUAUUAAUAGGCUCAUUCAAGUGAAAUGAGCAUUAUUUUACACAUCCUUUAGGAUUUUAAGUCAUUUAGAAGUCAUUCAUGUUAAAAAAAAAAAAAAUUCAUAUACUUUCAAUAUAAUUAGUACAUACACAAUUAAUUAAUUAAAUAAAUCUGUUUCAGCUAGUAUAGGAACUUAAUUAAUCAAAGCUAGUAGUUAUAGCUAGGACUUGAACGAGGCACCUUUCAAAGUUCAAGAAGAGCAUCUGAACAGAAUGAAAGCACUUUGUAGAAAUGAUAAUGAUGCUUUACACAAUAUGAACUUUCAUUUAUUCAAGAACAUAACACUACUCCAAGCUCUUAUUCUACGAGUCAAUCCAGUUUGUAGAUGCACGCCAUUGUAAAAGCUUUUGUAUUAUAAUUUCUGAAAAUAGAACAUAACAUUAUUAAUAUAGAAUCAGCAAUGUAUAUAACUUAUCAGACAAUAUAACAAGCACUUGGUGAGCAUACAAGAUAAACCAAAACAAGUUAUCUAGAAAAUGAAACUAAAACCCAAGCUCCGCUAUUCAUUGUAGAUGCUUUAAACAUAAAAUUAAACUAAAUCUAAUAGCAAAACAUUAGAAUGGAUGUUGGAAUUAAAGCUAAAUUCAAUAGUAAUUCAAAUGAAUCCAUUUGAACUUUGUAAAUUCCGCAGAACAAAAUUAAUUUGAGUGAGCAAACUCACCAAUGGAACAAGAACGCAGGGGCUUCAACUUGUACGAAUAAAAAAAUAUUGCUGGCGGGACAAAAAUUGACAAUAACGGCUACAAUACGAAUUAAAAAAAAUCAAAGUCUAUAAUUACAAGUUAAGUAAGAGAAGAAACUCAUAAUCACAAGCUUACCUCAAAAGAUGAAGGGAGAAUACGAUGAAGAAGAAGAUGCCCGGCGUUUUACGCCGUUCGCUGGCAACCAGUUAUGUUUACGAUGGUGGCCAGUAACACGGACUCCAGCGAAUACUUUUCUAACUGGAAAUAAAUUUAAAAUUCUAAAAUAUUAGUAUACCGAACGGCUCUUCACCGUCACGCAGUUCGUAACAUAUGUGACAGCAGUGUGGCCGUCACAUAAAGGGUAACAAAAGCAACUCGGGGUUACAGAGUUAGAAGUUAGUGAUAUGCGUAAUGGCUGCUUUUGCAUUCACAUUAGGGGUCACAUAUACCCUAUUUUCUUGUAGUACAUGGUAAAUUCUAUUUGAAAAUUGCUCAGUAUUUUAGAUUUGUACGAAAUCAUUUUUGUGUGCUCGUUGGAUAAUAAUAUAUAAUAAAUUAAAAUUUUAGUGUAAUUUUCACAAUAUUGUAUUAGAAAUAUGUCUCGUUGAAAGGUUUUGAAAUCGUUUGAUUGAUCAUAAUUGUUAUUUCGACAGUUGCAAAAGAUGCCAGAGAAAAUUUGAUUAUCUUAAGAAAUGAGUGCAUGAGAUAUGAAAUCAACCAUACCAUAAAAUCAAAUUUUAUCGUUUCAUUCUUCCUGGUUCAAAUUUAUGGAAACAAUAAUCAAAUGCACCCAUGAACUAGUAUAUUCCGACAUAUGUACCAUCAAAUUUUUGCUAUAUCAUACUUAUAUAUGUAUAUUGAAAUUUUAAUAACAACAAUUGGGCCAAGCGUAUGUUGGUACUUGAAGAUUUAUAAGCUCCAUCCUUGAAAAAAUAAGGCUUGAUUGUUCUCAAUCUAAUUCUUUUUGUUUUAAGUUCUUAAUUAAGCUUUCUUGCUUGUUUUCAAGAGCCAGUUUUGUAGUGAUCGAAAAACAUGAUUUGCAUGUAAUGCACUUGGCAUUUAUGCGUCACUUAUUAAUUAGAUUUAAAUUUUAUAAAUUAGUUAAGCUGAUUAAUACUGUGCAUGUGCACUAAAUGAUAAAUACUACAUAAAUUGGUAGGAGUGGGCAAAACCGGGUUCGGGUCGGGUCGGGUUCGGAUCAACCCGAUCGGAUUUCGGGUUGUUCGGGUUUAACAAAAAUUAAUCCGAAUACAACCCGAACUUCCCACCCGACCCGAUCCGAUCCGAUUUAUAUUCGGAUUGGGUCAGGUCGGGUUGUGAAUUCAGGUUGAAAUCGGGUAGGAUCGGGUUGACCAAUUUCCUUGAUUUUGUUACUACCAUUUAAAAACACAUAAUUACAACAAUUAAAUACUAAAUAUUAAUUGUUUAAUUUAACCAUAUGCACCAUCAAUUCAAAUCUUUAAAAAAAAAAGCUUAAAAAAAGCGUGAAAACUCAAGAUUCAAAGUCAAAGGUGAGAAGCUCGGGUUGAAGGAUUGGAGCAGCAGAAGCACCUUGCAGCAGAUUCGCGGCACUUGCAGUAGAUCGGUGGCCGCGGCACUUGUAGCAGCAGACCGACGGACGCGUAGUAGCAUAUUGGCGGCACUUGCAGCAAAUCGGGCAUGGAGACGCGCGGCAAAUCGGCCAUGGAGAUGCGGGUGAGGCUGUGACUUGUGCAACGACCUCCGUUGGCAGCUUGGCGUUGGCCCAACGCCGUUGGGGGUGACUGUGUAUGUGUUUUGUGUAUUGAGAUUGGGGAUUGUGUAAUGAGAUUGGGGAUUGAGGAGAGUUGUGAGUGUUUGUGUAAGUAACCGUGUGUUGUGAAAAUGGGAAUUGUGAUUUGUGUGUGCUGCGUGUGUGUGGCUGUUUGCUUUAGGUUUAGUUUUUUUUUUUUAUAGCAACCCGAUCGGGUUUCGGAUCGGAUCGAACCCAAUCCGAUCAUAACCCGAUCGGGUUUCAUUGUUUUGAUCCGAUCGGGUUUUCUGCACAACCCCAUCCGAUCCGAACCUGAAAUUUUUCGGGUCGGGUCGGGUCGGAUCGGGUAAUUUGCCCACCCCUAUAAAUUGGGACACUAGUAACUAUGCAUCCCAACCAUGUAAUAUUUAUUUGUCACGAAACCAACCACGACAUGAUAUUCUUAAUAUUAUUUAGGAUACCAUUUCAAGCCCCAUGAGGGCUCCUUCCGUUAAAUAAAAAAAAAAGGUAUGAAAUAGGUGUAGAUUUUACUUUAGAUAUUAUUAGUGAGAGUACCUUUGGUGGCAAUGGUCCGAGAUGAUUUGGGAUUUGACCAUUCUACUCUCAUCUUAAUUAUCAAAUGGAAUGUAAGUAUGGAUAAACUCGUCCUGUUUAUAUAUUUGUGAUCAAAAUUAGGACCAAUCUCAAACCCCUCACAAUCAUUUAUAUUAUUGCACCAGUUUAACAAUAAGAUUUACGAAACACAUACGACUGUUUUUAUAACUAAAAGUAUUUUUAAGCUACAAGAUUACCAAAAUGACCCUAAAUCAAACCAAUAAAAAUGUUUUAAAGUAAUAAUAAUAAACCAGAGUAAACGUACAAAAAUUCAUGCAUAAAUUGAUAAUCAACAAAAACAUCCAAAAGUUUAACUCCAAGUUUUCUAUUCAAUUGACAUAACCCUUAAAUUUCAAAAGGUAUAAUCAAUUUUGUGUCUAAUCCUAUAAAAUUAGAAAAUUAAAGAAUAUUAUAUAUUGAUAAUUAAAUAAUAUGCAAUUAAUAAUGUUUAAAAAAAUAAUGUUAAACAUAUUGUCAACUAAAAUAAUUGGGAGAAUUGGAGUUCCAAGAUAAAUUCUUAUCUAGUCCCAAAUCAACAAUUGUGAUUAAUUUCAAUCUUAAACUUUGAAACUCGGACUGCUUUUAAAAUUGGUCCUAAUAAUAUGGACAAAUCCCAUUCUGAUCAAUAUGGAAUCCCAAUCCAUACCUUUGGAUUUCGAUGGUGUUUAGUUGGAGGGAGGAGAGGAAGGAAAUGAAUUCAAAUUCCUUUCACUUUCCUGUUGUUUGGUUUUCACUAAUAAAUGGGAAUUCAAUUUCUAUUGAAAUUUAAUUUUCAUCAAAUUGUGCAUUUUGGAUUCCUCACCGAAGGCUGUAAAAUUCAAAUUCCCUUUCUAUUAGAAAUCGAAUCUUCCAAAAUUGCUCCAAUCAAAUUUUUAUCAAUUAUUUUAAUUAUUAUCAAAUAAUUCUUAUUUAUGAUUUUAUUUUUUCAAUUUAAAUUGUCACUAAGGAGUCGGACUUACUACCACAGAAAAGAAAAAAAAUAAUUUAGUCAGCUGAACUAAUUUUUGUUUUUUUUUUUUUUUAUUAACUUUGAAAUAUUGCAUACAUAACGAGCUGCUAUUGAAAUUAGUGUUAAAAAAAAAAUAGAUGCAAAAGGAGAAACAAGCAUCAUGUGCAGUACCCACUGUGAAAUAUUCACAUUGGAAUAAGUCGUUGGCAGCUGGUCUGUUUGGCCAUUAAUAUUUUGACAUUCAAUGUUCAUUAUGAUCCUAGUAAAUUAAGCCAUAAAAAAUCUAUUGAAAUUACUCACCGUACAAUGAUGGUUGGAGCUGCAUGUAUCAUUUAUUGUUAACAACAAACUUAUGAAAUGCUUUGAAUGUACCUCCGAGGUUGUAUUUACUAUACUAGUUAGGAGAAAUUACGAAGUUAAAUUAUUUGAUAAAUACUUAUUAUAAUUUGAAAAAUAUGUUAAUUUUGUCCUCCACUUUAUGAUAAAAAAUUUAUAAUAUAUAUAAAUCAUUCAUUCUAUAAUCUUGAAUUUUAUUAAAGUUAGAAAAACUAUUACUCUACAUGAUAUAAUAGUGUGAUGUUAUUACACUAUUAUACCAUAUAAAAUAUAUUUACUUUCUUAAAUUUUAAUAAAGUCUAGGUCUUGGAGAGAAGCACUUUAUAUAUAUAUGUAUAUAUGAUUAUUGUCUAGUGACAACAUUCUCAUUUUAACAAAGUGAUGAUAUAUCUAACUAAAAAACGCAUAUUUCAAUACACCAAUAGAUUAAAAAAAAUACAGUUUUUAAUAUGUUAAAAUCUAUAUAUUUUGUAUUAUUAAUAUUUUCACUUUAACAAAGUGGGGUCUCCUCACUAUAGAAGUACUUUAUAAAUAUUCUUUAUAUUUUUGUGAAAAUUAUUAUUUAAAAGUCAUAUUUUCCUAAAAACUAAUAACUUUUAUUUUAUUACUAUGCUGUACUUUUCAAGACAUAACACCUCAAUACCAUGACGUUAAUUAUUGAACUCUGCUGUACAAAGUUGUUGGCUGGUCUAUUUAGCUUAGUCUUUCAAUUAUUUGUCGUUUGAACUGAGAUGAUUCGAAUAAAGCUGUAUAUCAAUAAUUUCCUAGUGAAACUUCGAGAAAAAAUAAAAAUCAUGUCAUACAGUAGCAUUAUUUUUAUUUUCAGCUUGAUUAUGUUUUGAGUUAACUUAUAGAUUAUUUGAAAUAAAAAGAAUAUAAUUUAUUUUUUCUAACUAAAUAUUUUUAAAUAAUUUUGUUAAUUUAAUGAGUAAUUAUACACUUACAAAGUUAUGAUAUAAAAUUAUAUCCCUGAAUCCCAAUCAUAUGACACCAAUUAACUACUGCUAUGUGUUUCUUAGUAUUUAACUUUUUAUACUAUUAUUAAUGAGAUAAUUAUCUUCAACACCAAUAAAUAAAUUUUAUAUUAAUACAUCCUCUGACUUUAUUAUCAAAUGAUUAUAAAUCAUAAUCAAACCAAGCUACCAAAGCCUACUACUAAGAGAUUGAUUAAAGGGUUUUCCAAGAUUUCAAAUUGGAUGAAACUAUGGUGCAACGGUUGCACCGUACUACUCAAUUUUGUCUUUUUCAAUUAAUUACAUCUCAAUACCUAUAUUUUAUAAAAAAGUUGAAUAGACACUAGAAGUUACAAUUUUUUAUAUAUGAGUCCUCUUUUGGGAUAAAAAUGGAUUUUAAAAAAAUUUAACUGUUACUAUUAUUAAUAUUUAUAAAUUUCAUUAUUAUUAUAUUAAUAUUAUUGUUAUUAUUAUUAAAAUUUAUUAUUUUAAUUAUUGUCAUGUAUUAUUAUUACUACCAUAAAUGUCAUCAUUAUUAAUAUUAUUAUUAUCAUUAAAAUUUAUUAUUUUAUUAUUUUAAUUAUUAUGUAUUAUUAUUACUGUCAUUAAUUAUUAUUAUUAUGAAAUUAAUUUAUUUUAUUAUUUUAUUGUUACAAUUACUUUAAUUAAGUCAUUAUUAUUAUUUUAUUAAUUUUAUUACUAUUAUUAAAUAUAUUAACUUUAUUAUUUUAAUCAUGAUUAAUUAUUGUUAUUAUUAUUUUAUUAAUAGUAAUAUUAUUAAAAUUAUUAAUUUUAAUAUUUUAAUUAUUGUCAUGUAUUAUUAUUACUACCAUAAAUGUCAUCAUUAUUAAUAUUAAUAAUAAUAUUAUUAUUAUCAUUAAAAUUUAUUAUUUUAUUAUUUUAAUUAUUAUGUAUUAUUACUAGGGGUGGGCACGGUUCGGUUCGGUUUGGUUCGGUUCGGAUCGAAAUUAAGUAGAACCGAUUUAAAUCGGUUAUUUUAUAAAAAGAACCGAAUAAGAACCGAACUCAAACGGAUCUUUUCGGAUCGGUUCGGUUCGGUUCGGUUUUUUGGUUCUAGGUCUAUUAGGCCUAUUUUAAAAUUUCAAAUUUUUAGCCCAUUGGACCUCAUAAAUGUAAUAAUUGUUUUCAACAAUUAGUUCAUCCUAAUUUCAUUACAAAUAUUAACAAUAAAUACAAAGUAUUCAAAACACAUUUUAUCACUAAUAUCUUAUUAACUACUAAUAAGGUACUCACAAAAUAUGAAAUAUUAAAAUUUCAAAAUACAUAACCAAACUCCAAUACUCCAUCUACAUAAACAUAAUCAUAAUGUUGUAAAGACAAAUAAAAAUAACAACAAUUACAACUUACAACACAAAAUAAAAAGAAAAUUUAGAAACAAACGCCAACAACAUUCUCCCAUCUUCACCCAAAAAAAAAAAUUGCAAACAAAUGCCAACAACAUUCUCCCAUCUUCAUGAAUAUCAACAUCAACUUUAGGCAUUUUCGACUCAAUAUUUGGAUUUAUAAAAAAAAAUUUAACACAUGUCGAUUUGAAUAAAAUAUAAAAUUAAUUCGGUUUUUCGGUUCAGCUAAGUGAACCGAAUACCGAACCGACAUUUCGGUUUUUUUUUACAAAUGAUAUAUUUCGGUUUUUUUUAAAAUAAAAACCGAUCCAAAUUCGAAAAAACCACCGGUUCGGUUCGGUGUUUUUAAGACCACGGUUUUUUUGCCCACCCCUAAUUAUUACUGUCAUUAAUUAUUAUUAUUAUUAUGAAAUUAAUUAAUUUUAUUAUUUUAUUGUUACAAUUACUUUAAUUAAGUCAUUAUUAAUUAUUAAUUUUAUUACUAUUAUUAAAAAUAUAUUGGCUUUAUUAUUUUAAUCAUUAUUAAUUAUUGUUAUUAUUAUUUUAUUAAUAGUAAUAUUAUUAAAAUUAUUUAAUUUUAAUAUUUUAAUUAUUGUCAUGUAUUAUUAUUACUACCAUAAAUGUCAUCAUUAUUAAUAUUAUUAUGAAAUUACUUAUUUUACUCAUUAUUAAUUAUUAUUAUCAUUAAAAUUUAUUAUUUAUUAUUUUAAUUAUUAUGCAUUAUUAUUGCUGUCAUUAAUUAUUAUUAUUAUGAAAUUAAUUAAUUUUAUUAUUUUAAUUGUUACAAUUACUUUAAUUAAGUUAUUAUUAUUUAUUAAUUUUAUUACUAUUAUUAAAAUAUAUUAACUUUAUUAUUAUUAUUAUUAUUAUUAUUAUUAUUAUUAUUAUUAUUAUUAUCAUUAAAAUUUAUUAUUUAUUAUUUUAAUUAUUAUGCAUUAUUAUUGCUGUCAUUAAUUAAUAUUAUUAUUAUUAUAAAAUUAAUUAAUUUUAUUAUUUUAAUUGUUACAAUUAUUUUAAUUAAGUUAUUAUUAUUUAUUAAUUUUAUUACUAUUAUUAAAAUAUAUUAACUUUAUUAUUAUUAUUAUUAUUAUCAUUAAAAUUUAUUAUUUAUUAUUUUAAUUAUUAUGCAUUAUUAUUGCUGUCAUUAAUUAAUAUUAUUAUUAUUAUAAAAUUAAUUAAUUUUAUUAUUUUAAUUGUUACAAUUACUUUAAUUAAGUUAUUUUUAUUUAUUAAUUUUAUUACUAUUAUUAAAAUAUAUUAACUUUAUCAUUUUAAUUAUUAUUAUUAUUUUAUUAAUAGUAAUAUUAUUAAAAUUUAUUAUUCUAAUUAUUAUAUUAUUAUUAAUGUUGUCAACAUCAUCAUCAUCAACAUUAUUAAAGUUUACAUAUUUUUUUGUUUUAAGUAAUAUUAUUGUCAUUAUUAUUAUUUUACCUUAAGUAAAUAUUUAAAAACUUUUAGUUUUUAUGAUUUUGUAACUUACGGUCAGACUGUGAAAUAGUUAGAUAAUCAUUAAUUAUUAUUAUUAUUAACAAUUUAAUAAAAAUAUUAUUAAUUAUUGUUAAUAGAUUAAUUAAUUAUAAUGUUUUUUAUUCUUGUAUUAAUAAUAAAAAUAAUCUAUUUAAAAAAUAUUUAUGAUUAUAAUAAAAUAACAAUUAUAAUUAUAAUUCAUUUAACAAUAAUUAUAUUUUUUAAAUAAUGGAGGUUAUUUGGAAAAUUUAAAAUUAUAGGGGCAAAUUCAUACUCUAGGGUUUUAAUAAAAUAAAAUUGAGUAUAAGGGGUUAAACGAAAUUUUAUAUUUCAAAAAGUUUAUAAUAUUCAUGAAUAAAAUAUAAAUAACAUAGAAUAUGGGGGGUUAUAUAAAAUUUCACAGGCUGACCGUAAGUUACGUUAAAUGUAUAACUUAGGCGGACCUUUAGUGAAAUGCACAAAUGGCACAAGGGACCCCGCCAACCGUUAAGUCACAUCAUUUAUUUAUUUGUGAAUGAAAAAUAAGGUCCUUAUGCUAGUUUGACGAUUAUAAGUUAUCAUCACAAGGUUGUUGGGCGCAUGCAUACUGAGUCACAGCACUGAGAUUCAACUUUUCUGUACAAUAAGAGUUUAUUUGUCUUUUUGUAUUGGGAUAAAAUGGAUCUCCCUCCAACUUUAAGUAAGGCUUAAUAUUCAGGCUGUGCUGUAAUAGAAUUAUUGAGGAGAGUUUCAUUUUUUAUUGUAAAUAUCAGUAGAGCUCUCAUUGUAAUAUAUCAGUCUAUCAAAAAAAAGUUAUCAUCCCAAUAACUUUGGACUUUGAUAUUAAUUUUACUAAUUAUGAAAUUCAUUAUCUAAUAAAAAAAAUAACACAUAACAAUUGGGUCUCAAAUUAGAAUUCUACUAUCGAAAUUCCUAGCAUUAUUCUAAUAUUAAAAAUUCAUCAAAAUAAUAUCUAUUAUCUAAAAAAAUAAAAUAAAAAUCUAAAGCCAUAGAUUUACUUUUCAAUCUUCCUGAUUUGGCUGAUUUCUUUUAAAGCUUUGGUUUCUUUAUAUUUUUAUCGAUCAUUUUAGCGGUGCUGGCAUUUGAUUUUUUUGACUAAGCUACUGUUUAGUUCUAAGUUUUGGCAAUUGCCCGGACUGCUCUGUUUUGUGUAUCUUCGACACAACAAGGCUUAGCAUCUAAAUGUCGGCAGCCACGCAACUUCUUGGAAUCUUCGUGCAAGUGUUGGAUAUCGACUGUUCGAUAAUGAUGGCAGCAUGGGACUGGAGUGUAAUUGACGCAGUGGAAUAAAGAUCACAUGUCUCAAACUUUUGGCGAAGAUAUUGUCAGAUAUUUUAUUGAUUAAGGAUCACAAAUAAUGGAUAUUGGAUGAGAAUCACAUGCUUUACCACAAUCGUAAUGUUACUAAUGUAAGUCAAGCAAUUAUUUUUAAAUAAUGAUAUUAUAAUUAAAAAAUAAAUAAAUAUUUAUAAUAUUUAAAAGAGUAAUUCCGAUUAUUAAUUUUUUUAUAUUACUUAAUUAUUAGCUGACAAAUAAUUAAAAGGUUAUAGAACAGGACUCAGCUACCUUACAACAGUUGCAAGGUACCACCAAAUUUUGACUUUUCUUAAUUUCAGUUUUUUAUCAUUAGAUUUAAUGAAAAGGUGGUUUCAAUGGUAGAGAUUUGUUCAUUUAAAUAUUAACAUUACACUCCUUGAUAUUUAUUAAAGACACAAACAAGUUAAAGAGUUUAAAAUUUUAACACAUAAGUCCGGAUUGUUUACAAUUUAUAUUGUUUAAUUAGUAGUGAGUAUUAAAAAAUAAAUAUUAUUUUUAAUAUUAUAUAUUUUAUUUAAAAGAAUAAAUAAAUAUUAUUUAAUAUUAUUUAUUCCAUUUUAUUUAAUAUUAUUUAGUCAUAUACUUAUUAUUAUAUUUAUUCUUUCAAAAAACUAAAUAACAUUAAAUAAAAUAAAAUAAUCAUUAGGGCGCUUUAAAAAUAAAUAUUAUUUUUAUUUUUGUUUUAUUUAAUCAUUGGCUUAUUAUUAUAUUUAUUAUUUUAAAAAAUAAAUAAUAUUAAGUAAAAUAAAAUAAUCAAUAAUGACUGUUAAAAUUAAUAUUAUUUUUACUUAGUCAUAGGCUUAUAAUUAUAUUUAUUCUUUAAAAACUGAAUAAUAUUAAAAAAUCAAUAGUGUCUUAAAAAUAAUAUCAUUUUAAUAUUAUUUAUUUUAUUUAAGUUAAAUUUUAAUAUUAUUUAUUUUAUUUAAGUUAAAAUUUUAAUAUUAUUUAUUUAAUUUAAAUUUUUUAAUAUUAUUUAUUUUAUUUAAUAUUAUUUAGUCAUAGGCUUAUUAUUAUAUUUAUUCUUUUUUAUAAAGAUAAAUAAUGUUAAAUAAAAUAAAAUUACAUUUUAUAAAAGUUACCAGCGAAAGCAUACAAAAUUAUAAAUAAAUGUAAAAAAAUAAAUAAUAUUAAAUAAAAUAAAAUUACAUUUUAAAAUGUCACUAGCUAAAACAUAUAAACUUAUAAAUAAAAUGUAAAUAAGAAAGAAAGUAAGGUAUUAAAUGAAAUGUAACGUCACAUAAAACAAAAAUAAGUGGCACAUUACAACUGUUGCAAGAUAGCUGGACUCAUAAAACAAUAUUUUUAGGUCAAAUUUUUAUUCUGAUACGACACAACUUGUACUUUCAUUCCUAUGCUAAAAUAUAUCUAACCUACUAAUAGUCAAGAAAUAUAUCUAUUCAACACAUAUUUGUUAGAAAGAUUAUCUACUAAUUAAUCAUUGAGACGAGAUUACGAGCCUCAACAUAAAUUAGGAUAAAAAUUAAUAUAUUGAAAUUCAUAAUUUUUUUUUUCCUUCAGCAGUUUAAAAUGGAGUCGCCCACUAGUACUGAAAUAAUUUUAUCAGAUUCGCUUGAAAGUAGUUUUACAAGCAAGCAGUUUUUCCCUCUUGAUCCCCGUAAUCGUCAGCUCCUACUCUUUGCCUUCAAUUCUCAGUCAAGAAAACCUCUCCUGAUUUUCGUCUUUUGAUCUCAUACACACUUUGCUUCUGUUCAUCGUGGUCGCUGCUCGUGCUAGCCGUUUUCUUAUUUAGCUUUGUUCCCUUUUGCCAUCAGCUCUUCGCAUUUUCAUUGGAUCAAGCAACCCUUUUCUUGAUUCAAUUGUCUGAUCUCAAAAACACUUUGAUUCUCUUCUGUUACGCUGAUUUUCCCUUGUUUUGUACAAAUAUCAUUUCUUUUUUCAACUUUGCCUUGUUUUGCUUCUGCUUGAUUAUCAAUUGCGCGGCCGUUGACCCUGUUCUAUUUCUAUUUCGUUCACUUCCCCAAAAAAUAAAAAAUGGACAUUUUGAAAAGCAUUGUUCCAGGAGUUGUGAACUGCUUGUCUCCUCACGCACAACGCGAAUUUAGUUAUUGGUAUAACUCCGCUGCCAACUUUGAGAAUCUCAAGGCAGAACUCGAUAGGCUCAAGGAUGAAAGAGAAAGCAUUCAGCGCAGAGUUUCUGAGGCUGAAAGAAAAGGUGAAAAGAUUGAAGAGAAGGUUGAGAAAUGGCUGGUUAAUGCGAACAAGAGCAUUGAGGAGGCAGCCAAAUUCAUUCAAGACGAAGAGAAAGCAAAUGAACGAUGUCUCAUGGGGCUGUUUCCAAAUUGGAUUACUCGCUAUCAGCAUGGAAAGAAAGCAGAAACAGAGAAGGAGGCCCUUUUUAAACUCCGAGAAGAAGCUGGGAGAUUUGAUGAUAGAAUUUCCUACCGUACCGUUCCGGAGGAUAUAUGGCUCAAGUCUCACAAAGGCUACGAGGCCUUCGAAUCAAGACUUUCUACUUUGAAGGCCAUACAAAAUGCAUUGAUCGAUGUUGAUGUCAGCAUCAUUGGGGUGUACGGCAUGGGCGGCGUUGGAAAGACGACACUGGUGAAGAAGGUCGCCAGGCAAGCUAUGGAAGACAAGCUCUUUGAUAUGGUGGUCUUUUCAGAGGUUUCGCAAACUCCAGACAUAAAAAAGAUUCAACAGGAAAUUGCCGAGAAGUUGGGCCUGGAGUUGCACGAGGAAGUUGAAUCUAGAAGAGCUAGUAGGCUAUGUGAGCGAUUGAGAAAUGAGAAGAAGAUCCUUGUGAUUCUGGAUAACAUCUGGAAACACCUUGAUUUGGAGACCGUUGGAAUUCCUUUUGGAGAAGAUCAUAAAGGAUGCAAACUACUGCUGACGACAAGAGAUCGUAGUGUCCUCUUGAAAAUGGGAUCUGAAGACAACUUUUUGAUAAACAAUUUAAAUGAAGAAGAAGCCGGGAGAUUGUUUAAGAUGAUGGCCGGUGAUGAUGUUGAAAAUCGUGAGUUGAAAUCUACAGCAAUAGACGUCGCCAGGGCAUGUGGAGGUUUGCCCAUUGCCUUGACUACAGUAGCAAAGGCAUUGAGAGGCAAGAGUCUGCAUGAAUGGAAGAAUUCCUUGCGAGAACUCCGAACGCCUUCAAUGGUAAACUUCGAAGGAGUGUCUGCAGAGACUUAUUCAAGUAUUGAACUGAGUUUCAAGUAUUUAAAAGGUGGGCAACUCAAGGAACUUUUUCAGCUCUGCAGUCUAAUGGGUAACAGUAUCCCUACUUUGAAAUUGCUUAAAUACUCCAUAGGUUUGGGUAUAUUUCAAGGAGUCAAUAAGGUGGAAGAUGCACGAAACAAGUUAUAUGCGUUGGUACAUGAACUUAGAGACUCUUGUUUGUUGCUUGAGGGUGAUAGCAAUAAACUAAUUUCAAUGCAUGAUGUUGUUCGCGAUGUCGCCAGAUCAAUUGCAUGCCGAGACCAACAUGUAUUUGUGGUGGAAAACGAGGAUGUGUGGGAGUUGCCAGAUAAGGAAUCACUAAAAAAAUGCUAUGCAAUCUCUAUAAGAUAUUGUUGCAUUCAUGAGCUUCCCAAUGCAUUGGAAUGUCCACAACUUGAGUUCUUGUGCAUGUCUCCCGAAGAUUCUUCUCUUGAAGUGAGUAUUCCUGAAAAUUUUUUUGUAGGGAUGAGAAAGCUUAAAGUUGUAGAUUUUACUGGAAUGCAGUUAUUUUCAUUGCCUUCUUCAAUUGAUCUCUUAGUAAAACUUAAAACACUUUGUCUUGAUGAAAGCAUUUUGAGAGACAUCGACAUAGCCAUUAUUGGAAAGUUGGAAACUCUAGAAAUCCUCAGCUUCGUGCGGUCUGAUACGGUGCAAUUGCCCAAAGCACUAGGUCAACUGACUAAGCUAAGGCUGUUAGAUUUAACAGACUGUUUCCAUCUAAAAGUUAUUGCUCCAAAUGUCAUAUCAAGCUUAAUCCGAUUAGAAGAAUUGUAUAUGUGUAAUUGCUCCAUUGAAUGGGAGGUUGAAAGAGCCAACAGCAAAAGAAGUAAUGCUAGCCUUGACGAAUUGAUGCAUUUACGUUGGCUAACCACUCUAGAAAUUGAUGUUAAAAAUGAGAGUAUGUUACCAGCAGGCUUUUUGGCCAGAAAGCUCGAAAGGUUCAAAAUAUCUAUUGGAAAUGGGUUAUUCAUGCAUCCCAUGCUUUUUGGACAACAUUGGUUUAAAAGUCAGCUGCACUUUUUGAUCGACAGUAAUCGCAAGAUUUCAAGAGAAUUGGAGCUCAAGCUUGAUUUUAUGGACAUUUGCUCCAUGAAAUUGCAGGGCAUCAAUAACGUUGAAUACUUACGGUUGGACAAGCUGCAAGGCAUCGAGAAUGUUCUUUUCAAUUUGGACACGGAGGGCUUUUCACAAUUGAAGGUCCUCUGCGUCCAAAAUAAUCCUGACUUCUUUUGUAUCGUCGAUUCAAGGGAGAUGGUCGCUUGUGAUGCCUUUCCUCUUUUGGAGUCACUUGCCCUUCACAAUUUGAUCAACAUGGAGAGGAUAUGUGUUGAUCGGCUCAAAGUAGAGUCUUUCAACGAACUCAAAAAUAUAGAAGUAUAUAAUUGUGAUAAGUUGAGUAAUAUCUUUUGGCUCUCUACUUCAAAAUGCCUUCCAAGACUUGAGAGAAUUGCAGUUAUUAAUUGCAGCAAGAUGAAAGAGAUUUUUGCAAUUGGGGAAGAAGUUGAUAAUGCAAUUGAGAAGAUAGAGUUUGUUCAAUUAAGAUCUUUGAGUCUGGGGAAUCUUCCAGAGGUUACAAGUUUUUGCCGCCGUGAGGUGGAGACUCCUUCAGCAUCACCGAACAGACAAGUGUCGCAAGAGGAAUCGACGACUACGUAUUGCUCCAGCGAAAUCACUUUGGAUACUUCAACUCUGCUUUUCAACGAGAAGGUGCGUAGGCUAACAUUUUCUUUAUAUAUAUAUAAUUAAAUCAUUUAAAGAAUUGAAAGAAAAUGGAAAAAGGAUAAAAAGAAUCUCACGCGCUCACUAAUUGAGCUCUUAACAAGUAGUAUGAAUUAGAAUGCAUACUCAGCUGUCAGUUGGAAAUUGAUUCAGACUUGAUUAAUUUGUAAUCAAAGAAGAAAAUUUCAACAAGUGCUUCCCCUAUAGAUAUUGGAUCUAACGAGAAAUUCUUAUUUUUUUAGGUUGCGUUGCCUAACUUGGAGGCUUUGGAGAUAUCUGAAAUUAAUGUCGACAAGAUUUGGCACUACAAUCAAAUUCCGGCGGCCGUGUUUCCUCACUUUCAAAGUUUAACAAGAUUGAUUGUGUGGCGUUGUCACAAAUUAAAAUACAUAUUUUCAGCGUCUAUGAUCGGAAGCCUCAAGCAGCUCCAACACCUAGAUAUACGAGACUGUAAGGAUUUACAGGAGAUCAUUUCUGAAAACAGAGCAGAUCAAGUGAUCCCUUAUUUUGUCUUUCCACAGCUCACCACUCUGAGACUCCAAGAUCUACCAAAACUUAGAUGUUUGUACCCUGGAAUGCAUACUCCGGAAUGGCUUGCGCUUGAAAUGCUUUUUGUGUAUCGCUGUGACAAAUUAAAGAUAUUCGCUGCAGAUUUAUUGCAGAAAAAUGAGAAUGAUCAACUUGGUAUUCCUGUACAACAGCCCCCAUUGCCGUUGGAAAAGGUAUGAAGCCAUUUUCUAGAUUUUUUUUAUCAAUAACUUAUUUUUAACUUUGAAAAAUAUGACAAAGCAAUGAUAAAUUAAUACUCAAUAAAUUGAAAACUUUUAUUAUACAAUAAUCUUUGCUAGUCUAGACUAAGGGAUCAAUGUGGUAGAUUAAUAAUUAUAUGAACUUUUUUAGGUAUAGCAUUUAUAAAAGAAUCCUUAGUCUUUCCUAUAGAAGAACUUACAAAAUAAAUUAGUAAUUUAUUAUCGUGCAAUAAAAUAAUUUCUUUUUUUUCCCUAAUUUCUUUUUUACCUCUAAAAUUAAUAUAUAAAAAAUCAUUUAAUAAAAUUUAUCAAUAAUUCAAUUUGUUUUUGUAAAAUAUAAUAUAAAACAAAUAAUAUAAAGUCACUGCAUGUGAUUGGAUUACUCAAAAUCAUUUGAGAGAACACCAAUUGACCUUGUCAGUUAUUAUGAUUGAUGAUGAUCAGAUCUUACCCAACUUGACGGAACUAUCACUAAGCGGAAAAGACGCGAAGAUGAUUUUGCAGGCCGAUUUCCCACAACACCUUUUUGGCAGUCUUAAACGACUAGUGAUUGCUGAAGAUGACUCAGCUGGUUUUCCAAUCUGGAACGUACUUGAGAGAUUUCACAAUCUCGAAAUACUCACACUGUUUAAUUUUUCAUUCCACGAAGAGGUAUUUUCGAUGGAAGGAUGCUUAGAGAAACAUGUGGGGAAGUUGGCAACGAUAAAAGAAUUAGAGCUGUACCGGCACUAUCAUCUGAAGCAGCUGUGCAAACAAGACUCCAAACUUGGCCCCAUUUUUCAGUAUCUUGAAAUUCUAAAAGUAUAUCAUUGUCAAAGUCUGUUAAUUCUACUGCCAUCAUCAUCGGUAUCUUUUGGGAACCUAACAAAACUUGUAGCUAGCGGUUGCAAGGAAUUGAUGCACUUGGUAACAUCCUCCACAGCAAAAACUCUAGUGCGACUCGUAUCACUUGGUGUAUACGGAUGCAGAGCAAUGACAGAGGUGGUAAUAAAUGACAAAGACGGGGUUGAAAAAGAAGAGAUUGUUUUCCGCAAAUUGAAGACGUUGGAACUGUGUGAUUUAGACAGCCUCACAAGUUUCUGCUCUGCCAAUUACACCUUUGAAUUCCCAUCUUUGCAAGAGUUGGGGGUGAUUUGUUGUCCCAAGAUGAAGAUUUUCACUACAGGAGAAUCAAUCACGCCUCCGGGAGUAUACGUCUGGUAUGGAGAGACAGCGGAUCAACGGUGCUGGGCUAAUAAUGAUCUAAACGCAACCAUACAACAAUUACAUGCUGAGAAGGUACGGAUAUACAUAUUACUCUCUAUCUCCCAUGAUAAAUUUUUAUAAAAUUUGCUUUUUAAAAUACAAUAUAGAUAAGAUAUUUGUUUAAAGUAAAAGUUUAAAUUGAUGAAUAAGAAUUUUAUUUUCAGCUGUUGGCGGUGCCGUCGUCGUUCUCCACCCGGUACUAAUUUCAUAGGCUUCUUAUGACUUGGGAGUUGUGAAUUUUUAGAAGAAAGUCUCAACUGGUAAUUAAUUUUUAUUUCAUUUAUUUGAUCUCAUGGCUUCUUUCGCAAUUUCAUCUGAAUUAUUUAGAAUGGGUCACUCGAUUUACUGUUAAAUUUGGAAUGCCAUUUUAAUGAUUCGUUCAGACUUUUAUGGACAGAUUUUGCAUCAUUGAAUGUCUUUCAGUCUAGUUUAAUUUAAUUUUUUUUUUGGAGAGUUUCCCUUGUUUUCUAAAAUUGUAUAAUUCCUUGCAUACUUUUUAUGAUAAAAUUUCAUUAAAAACCUUCAUAUUUUAUAAUUCCAUGAAAUCGUGCGUACUUUUUUCCUAUCUUUCUUCGCCAAUUAUUUGUUUUCAUCAUUGCUGUUCUGUUAUUUUAGCUUGUGCUCUGUUUGUUCAUUUGGUUUGGUUUGCUUCACACCUAUCUUUCUUUGGAAACUUAGAAGGCAAAGGAAGUACUUAGAAAAUGCUCUUCCCUAUGAACACAUAAUUAAGAACAGCUGAAAAUCAUUCAUCGGAUAAAAAAAUUAAAAAUAAUUAAAAAUAAACAAAAUCUAAUCAGAGCAUUAUGCCUGGAACAAAUCCUUAAGCCAUCAAAGCAAAACUCUUCGCUAUGAAAAACUAUAUUGUGGAAAUAUUGUUUGAAAACGUUGGAUACCAAGAAAGGGACUAAUCUGGUCUAGUUUUAUGAGAAGUGCAGAAGAACAGUAUUUUCUCUGUUGUUCCUAUUAAAAUUCUUUACUCUGUUAUUGUAGAAUGUCUGGAUACUCAUGAAGAUUCAGGUAACUCUUCUUCUGUGCAUCAUUUGAAAUAAGGUCUUUUUUUUUUUUUUUUUUUUUUUUUUUUUUGGGAAUAUCUCCUACUGGGUUUAUAGCUCAUACAAAGAGAUAUUCUCAAAUGAAGCCGGAUACUGGUAGAAACAAGGGAGGAAGUUGGCGCUGAUAAAAUGGUUAAUCCUGUCCAGACUUAAUCAUCUGAAGCAACUCCAAACUGGACUCCAUUUUCAAUAUCUUGAAAUUCUAAGGCUAUAUUAAUGCUUGUAAAAAUCUUUUAAGUCUAUUCCCAUGAUCAUCUGUAACUUUUGGGAAUCUAACAGAACUGGUGGUUUUCCAUUGCAAAGAAUUGUAACAUCCAUCCACUACAGCAGAAAGUCGAGUGCGGCUCGUAUCAAUGAAGGUAACUGGAUGCAGGCCAAUGACAGAGGUGUUUGACAGAGGUGUUAAUAGGUGACGGAGAAGAAGAUGGAGCACCAAAUUUAAUUUCAAAACAAGAGAUUGUUUUCAGCAAAUUGAAGACGUCGAGUCUGUGUGAUUUAGAUAGUCUCACAAGUUUCUGCUUUGCAAAUUACGCUUUCAGAUAAAGAUUCUUGAAACUGUCCUAUUUAGAGCUGACAUUUCCACUAGAUUUAAGAGAAUAUAAAAAAUUCAUUAAUCGUUAGUUUUUAAUUUCAUUAUUCAAUGAAAGUCCUGUCAAAUUAAAUUGCCGCUAUUGAAUCUCUCGCUCCCCUUGCAAAUCUCUAUGUGCAAGUACCUAAAUUUACAAAUUUUACUUCAAAUUAAUGAAUGACAUAAUUUAUUUUCAGCAGUACGAUAUGUUCUGAUCCCAUAGGCUUUUUAAUUUAUUACAUGGUGUUGUCAAAUUUGAAGAACAAGGUCCGAGGUAACAAUCGUUUUCAUUUCAUUUUGUUUGAUCUCUAAGUUUAUUUCAUCGUUUCAUCUAAAUUAUUUGCAAUGCGUCGGUUGGUUUCUUGUUAAUUUUGGAACAAAGUUGAUGCAACCAAUGGUUGCAUAUGAUGAGUAGGAUAUCGCUCUGAGAUCAUAACUUGAGUUAUAGAUAUCUAUCUAGGGCGUAUAAUAUAUCAUUAAUCUAUUACUAUAACAUUGUAUUGGUCUCGUGGUCCAGCUAGAAAUUCUAUUUGUUUCAUAGUUAUUUUACAAGUUUAAGAUAUUUUCUUAUUUUUCUUAUUAUUUUCAAGAUUUUUAUUUUUUUUCUACAAAUAUAAGAUUUAAGUACGAUUUAUUUUAUUUUUAUUAGAAGAAUGUUAUUAUAUAAUAAUAUUUUAGGUUUGCUUAUUUUGGUAAAUUCGUAAUAUUUAGAAUUAGUAUAAAGAGGGUCCAAAAUCCAAAUUUUGUUAUUCAGACCUAUCUAUUAAUAAAAUUUCAGACUUUUCAAAAACUUGUGUUUCUCUAUAUUUUCAAUCUCAACGUCCAAUUUUCCGUCAUCAUAAAUUCUAAUGCCUGGUUCCAUCAGGUCUCUCUUCUGUGAAGCCCCUGGAGUAAAAGCUCCGAAUGUGUUACCAUUGAAAUCAUGGCAGAAAACUUUAGUACUUAAUUAAGGCUCUUGAAUAAGACUCUUUAUGGCUUCAAUAUUUUACUUGAUAUGAAAAUUUCUUUCUAGAUAGAAUCAUUGUGAAGAUAAAUUGUGGUAUUACUGACAAUGAAUAAGUUGAAACAUCAACAGAGAUAAAUAUUGAGCAAUUAAUGUUACCAGCAAUCAAUUUGUGAGCACCAACAACCAUUUUCAUAUUUAAGCCGUUAGAACAGUAACACAAAAUAUGGCGAGUGGCAACCACACAAAUAAUCAAAUUCCUGAUAGAUUUUGAAAACUUUAAUUUGCUAGAUAUGUAUUUUAAUAUUUCAACAGGUGCAUCUUUUCUCUACUCAUGUGGCACGUUGAAUCAGAAACGGUUUGAAUGUCAAUAUUACUCCAAGUGCCUCAACCAAAUUCAGAAUGAAGAAAAUCAUCUGGUUACCUGCACUUUAGUUUAAGCAGCUGAUUAAGUUAAUUAGCACCAAGUAAUUCACAUACUAGUGAGAAAUUUCAUUAGUAAAUUCAUACCUGGGAGGAAACCAGCAUCUUGACGCUUUUGUGACCAAGAAAAUCUGCCAGAACCCCAAUUAAUGAAAAAAAAUUAUAACAUCAUUUACAUAUAAUUUUACAAAAUCAAUAGGACACUUACAGAGCACCUCCUACAGCUGGACCGGCAGUUUUGGUAAGCGACACCACAGUCAUAGCAAGUCCAUUAUGGUAUAAUGCUGUUCCUGUUAUUAUACCAUAAACCAAAAAAAUAAUUUAAACUUUUGACACAUACAAAGCAUGAAAAAGCUGAAAGCAUGGAAAUGUACUAAACAAACAAAAGAAAAUAUAUUUACCACUGCUCUGUUUUGCAGAAGGAACAAUCCAGUAAUUAUAGACACCUGAUGUUAUAAUUCAGGAAAAGUGAAAGAGAAUUACAACAUUUCUGAUAAAGAAGAUAUAAAAUAACUUUUAUACAUUCUUGCUAAUGGGUAAUAUAACCUAAGUAUAUGGAUCAAUGAUUAGGAUAUCCACUUACAGAUAAAACAUUCUUCAUCACAGAAGCACAGUUUAUCAAUAAGGCAAGGCUGAACCCAGAUAACAUUGCUAUGUAAGUGUAACUUGUCAAAAGCGGUAUCGAUAAAACCUGUAUAUACAUAGAAAAUUACGUCACCAAAUCCAUGAAGAAAAGUAUUUUAUAAACAAAUAUGUUUGAAACAAACUAUCAAAUGAUCUAAAUGCCACAUGGUUUGUUCAAAAUUUUACCCCUGCAAUGCGUGUUAUUAUUAUUGGCCCGAUCAUCCUCUCAACGUAAGGGUAUAGAGUAAGUUGAAAAACAAGGAGGCUGAAUCCUGCAGUAAGUUCAAAAUGAGGAGUUGAGGACAAUCAAUAAGCAGUUUUGUGGGGUUGAUGCAUGAGAAAAGAAGUUAAGAGGAACGAGUAACAUUUUCAGUUUCGUAAUAAGUAUAAAUGGGCAGCAAGAGUAUUGGUUUUGCACCUGAGAUGGCAAGAACUUGGCCAGCAUUUUCGGUUGAGUAACUCAGACCCCCGUACUUCCACGGGCUGAUAGCCCACAAUGAAAAUAUCUAACAGAAUAGUUGCAAUAUUAUGAUUUAAAAAAAUUACAUAGAUAAGAAAUUCUUAGGAUCAGUAAUAGCCAUAUGUCUUCUUUAUGUAUAAAACUCAAAACAAUCCCAUCAAUAGCAAUAGCACCCUCUGUUUCAGGUAGAAGUUAAGAGAUAACUUUGCAAAUAUCUAACAGAAAGCGAUCUGAUCCAGGAUCCUGGACUUUAUUCAAGUUCGGGAAAGCCAUUGGUCAUUGGACUAUUAAACCAUGUGGCUUAAUAACUGGUUGAGCAGAUCAUCUCGACCAGGAUAUUAUAGUUCACAUCGACCAGAAUAAUAUGUGGUGACCUCGAGCAGAUCACCUCGACCAGGAUAUUAUUGGUCAUCUCGACCAGGAUGUUAUUGGUCACCUCGAGCAGAUCACCUCGACCAGAAUAAUAUGUAGUGACCUCGAGCAGAUCACCUCGACCAGGAUAUUAUUGAUCACCUCGACCAGGAUAAUAUGUGAUGACCUCGACCAGAAUAAUAUGUGGUGACCUCGAGCACAUCACCUCGACCAGGAUGUUAUUGGUCACCUCGACUAGGAAGUUACCAGAAAACACGAUUCAGUCAAAACAUUUUCUCCGAAAUAUUAGGGACCAUAUUCUUAGUGGGCUGAAAAUUAGUAGUUUUCUUGAGAAUCCUAUGGGAGAGGAUAAAAACCGCUAUAUUUUCAUAUAAAAACCCUAAGGGGGGAUUCUUCUAGCUCUCUCUCUCUCUCUCUCUCUCUCUCUCUAAGCAACUGAACCCAUUGGACCUUUUUCUCCCUCUACCACUGAGAAAUUUCUCUUUCGCCUGUGAUUUCUUUAAGAUUGAUUAUUGUGAAUUUUUUUCCUUUAAAUUUACUUAAAAGCUUUUUGUUUAAAGCAAUCAUAAUUAAGCCACAUGAAUUGUGGUAUGGGUUUUUCCAAGUAAGACCCGAAUCGCUGACUUGAGCGUCGGAGAGUUCUCGCCGGAAAAACUUCCGGCACCUCCUGACUGUUGGUUGUGUUCACAGGCUCACAGGUUAUCUGCUCAUGGAUUGUCUGCUCAUGGGUUCUCUGCUCAUGGAUCGUCUGCUCACGGGUUAUCUGCUCAUGGAUUGUCUGCUCAUGAGUUCUCUGCUCAUGGAUCGUCUGCUCAUGGAUUGUCUGCUCAUGGAUCGUCUGCUCAUGGGUUGUUUGCUCAUGGGUUCUCUGCUCAUGGGUUGUCUGCUCAUGGGUUGUCUGCUCAUGGAUCGUCUGCUCAUGGGUUGUCUGCUCAUGGGUUCUCUGCUCAUGGAUCGUCUGCUCAUGGGUUGUUUGCUCACAGAACAUCUGCUCAUAGAAAAUCUGCUCAUGGUGCUAACUAAUCAUCAGCUUCCCACCAAACAAAUUUAAUGCUGAUGCAGGGAUCUGAGAUUUGACCAACUCAUCCAGAUUUCGGCAUCAACAAUAACUUUCCCGAACAUUAAAAUAGUUUAGAUUUUGGAUUGGAACAUUUUUAUGUCAUAAUAAAGUAGAAUAUAUAUAUAUAUAUAUAUAUAUAUAUAUAUAUAUAUAUAAACAAUCAAACUCAGGUAGAGAUGUUUAUACCUCGGUGUAAGCGAUAUCAUGAAGCGAGAAAACACAAUAAACAAUAGUAGAAGAAAUAAAGGGCCAAUUCUUCAUGAGGCUUUUCUUAGCAGUGGCCUCCUCACUUCCUUCAUCUUGUUUAAAUUCUGCAUUGGACCCACAGGCGGAUUCCAAAGCAUCACAUGAUACAUCAAGUGAUACACCAUCUUCAUUGUGUUUGUGCAAUGUCUCCUGCAUCAAAAAGCAUGUGAUGGUGUCAAUGUAGUCAUUAUAAGAGAAGCGAAAGUUAUAUUUUAUAGUCUCACCCAUAAGAAAAUUUGAAGUUAUGGGAGAGUUGCUAUUACAUGUACAAUUCAGCCUGAAAAGAGAGCUAAAGGCUACGUACCGGAAUCCAGCAAGAAGCAAUAGUUACCGCAAAAGCAAAGAGUGACAUACAGAGACAGGGAAGGAAGUAAGGAAACCUGCAUAAAUUUGUUUUUCAAAAUACCAUCAUAUUGAAAGUAUUACAGAAAAAGAUAAGGCUAAUGGCAGUAAAAAUUCACUUACUUUCCAAACAUAGAUUCUUUGGAAAAUGCCUUUGGAUAUUUCUCUGCUGGCUGGAUUGCAAAAUUAUCCACGAAUAUAUAUAAGAAUAAUAUUUAUCAAGCCAAACUACUAAAAAUUCAAAAAAAAAAAAAAAGCGCAUAAUAAUCAAGUAAAAAUUGCCGAACCUGGGCCAAAAAGCCACCCACUGCAGGGCCAAUAAUCAACCCUGUGCCCCAUGCUGUACUGAGCUGAAAUUAUAUCGUAGUUCUCAAGGUAAAUGAUGCUAUAAAAUUUUCUCAAGAACUUUGCAAUCAUACACGAACUGAUAAGCUCACCGUUGACAGUCCUAAAGUUUUGUGUUGAUCGCGCAAUAUUUCACAUGCAUAUGCCUGGUGGUGCAAGAGAAGUUUGAGUACAAAUAUUUACAGGAGUUAAAUUGGAAUUAUCAACAAAUACCCCCAAUCAAUACCUUAAUUGGUCCAAGUAAACCAUUCAAAGCCCCAAGGAGAAACCUUGUAGCUAUGGCCAUCCAGAAACUAACACUAAGCCCAAAGAGAGUGUUAAAAAUAACCCUGUGAGCAUUUUAAGACAAAUAAGAAACCCAGAAAUUGCCAAAAUAUCAUCAAUUUCAAGCUUGAUCAUUUGAAAAUAGAGGUCACUAACACUGUGAUGCAUCCUAUUAUUAUUACAGGCUUUCGACCACAGCGGUCAGCCACCAUUCCCCACAAAACAGAUGUUAGAGCUCUGCCAAGCAUGUAUGAAGACCAUUCAAUUUCAUCAUGGUAUUAAGAGGUUUGUCAGAUGCAUCCUAUUAUUACUUCUCGAGGAAUUUGAACUGUUAUAUUGGUCGUACAUACAUACAUACAUGCAUACAUACAUAUACACAUACUGAAUAUUGUCUAAGUGGUUUAUUUACAGGUAUUCAAAAUAUAAAUUAUUGCUAUGAUUUUAGAAAAUAUUGUCUUUUUUUUGUAAUUUAUAUUAAAAUUUUGCGACAAUUGUUUGGCUGGAAUUUUUUUUUUUAUAAGAAAAAUAGUGAUCUCACACUGAUCCAUAGUUGAGCCAAUUACCUAGUUAAAAGCUACCUCCAUAUUUUUUAUUUUUUACCCUAAUGCAUGUCUGAUUCUUUUAAAAUUUUACGUUAUAUAUAUUAAACAAAAAUUAUAAUUUUAAUCAUUGAAAAAUUAAUGACAGACAUCUUUUGAAUAAUAUUUUUUUAAAAAAAUACAGAGCUAGAGAUAAUGCUAUAAUUGAUUGAAUAAGAAGGCUACAACUUGAUGAUAACUUUAUUGCAAUGUUGCGUGAUCUCAAUAUAUUAUUGGCUUUUGUGUGAGUAAAAGUUGCUGGCUCGUGUUUUACUAAUUUGGGUUUGUAUUUGACUGGCUCGACAAAGAAUCGAUUUACCUCAUACUCAAAUUACAAACAUCGAAACCGGAUCUGUCAUUACGUUAAUUGGCCUCCUAAAAUAAUCAAUCACUUUCUCUUUAGUCUACUAUCCACUCUUUCCAGUCGCUUAGUUUCAUUCUAAUCAUCUAAACGGCUCUUUGGUACUGUUUCUUCUAUUCGUCAUUGUUCUUGUUCUGUUAUUAUUUAGCUUUGUUCACUCCUCAGUCUCAUUUCUAAUUCUGUACCCAUCAGCUCUUUUAGCUCUUUACGUCGUGAUAGAAACCCUUUUCUUGUUUCCUUCAUCUCAUCUGAAAAACACAAUUGCUUGUCCUAUCGCUGUCUCUUUGUUUUUACUUUCCUUUGGCCUUCUUCGCUUCUACGUUUUUGUCAGGCUUCGAGAUGCUGGAAAUCAUUGUGACUAUCGUCUUGGAACUUGUAAAAUGCUUGGCUCCUCCAACUGCACGCCAACUUGUUUAUUUGCGAAAGCGGAACUACAAUGCCAACUUUGAGAAUAUCAAGGCGGAAAUGGAGAAGUUGAAGGUUGAACGUACGAGCAUUCAGCGCAGGGUUUCAGAGGCGAAAGAAAAAGGGGAAGAGAUUGAAGAGAAGGUUGAAAAGUGGCUGGUUAGUGCGAAGUACGAACGGCAUCAUUGACCGGGCAGCCAAAUUCAUUGAAGAUGAGGAGUCAACGAAUAAGCGCUGUGUCAAGGGCUUGAGUCCUAUUUGGAAGAGUCGCUAUCAGCUUAGCAAGAAAGCAGAGACGGAGGUGAAGGCCAUUAUUGAACUUGGAGAAGAAGUUAAGAAGUUUGAUACUGUUUCCCACGGUACCAUUCGGGAGCAGAUAUGGCUUAACUCUAGCAAUGGUUACGAGGCCUUCGAAUCAAGACUUUCUACUUUGCAAUCUAUAAAAAAUGCAUUGACUGAGGCGAAUGUCAGCAUUAUUGGGGUGUACGGCAUCGGCGGCAUUGGAAAGACCACACUGGUGAAGGAGUUUGCUAGGCAAGCCAGGGAAAAGAAGUUGUUUUAUCGGGUGGUUUUAUCAGAGGUUUCAUAAACUCCAGAGAUAAAAAAAGAUUCAAGGGGAAAUUACAGAGAACUUAGGUCUGGAGUUGUCCGAUGAAGCUGAAUAUAGAAGAGCUAGCAAGCUGAAUGAACGAUUGAAGAGUGAGAAUAAGAUUCUUGUGAUUCUAGAUAAUAUCUGGAAACAUCUUGAUUUGGAGACCGUUGGAAUUCCUUUUGGAAAUAAUCAUAAAGGAUGUAGACUUUGAUAGACAACCAAGGAGAUCAGCUAGAGUUUCAAAGCCAAGCAGCAAGCUUGUGGACUUUGUUUGACCAUGCAAACCAUGCCCAUGCAAGCCAUGCAAUUGAUCUCCCACAUAACACUUUCAUGCGAGUUAGUUGGAAUAAGAGCACGUGAGGAAUUGAUAUUGAAGUAAAAGUGAUGGUUGUCGAAGCCAGUAAAAAUAAAUACCUACUCUAAAUAAAUUAUGUAUAGUGAUUGAGUAAGGUCGUGUCCACAGAGAUCGGUAAUUAUUUAAAUUCUUUUAAAAAGUAAAUUGCAAAAUGGGGGGAUUGUUGACAAUAAUAAAAAUCAAAUUAAAAUAACAAGAAUGCAAAUUAAAAUUUUAAUUCAAAUUGGGAAAAGCUCUGGUUGAAGGAAUUAACUCAGCUUGAUUUGAUUACUGAUCAUUGAUUCAAUUAUAAAUCACUACUACUUAUGAAUAGAUCGGUUAUAGCUACUGAGACCCUCUAAUAGUCAAUCUCUCCUUAACUAAUCGAUAACCAAAGUACGACCGUUGGUUAUUUCCCUAAUCAAUAGACAACCUAGAUACGAUCAUAGGAUUUAAUCAAUUGACAGCCUGAAAAUCCAGAGAGACCCAAAUCCUAAUAAAUAAACGCAUACAAUGGUUCAUUUAAAUUAGAUUGUUUAUUCUCAUAACACAAUGCACUGCUAUGCUAUUUGUCACAAACAUUAAAAUCUUCAUACGAUAAAUCAUUUAAUUGACAACAUAUUAAGUUGAUAAUUAAAUAGUGGUCAAUUAUCUAAUUAACAAACAUAAUCAUGACAAUAAUUCAGAGAAUAAACAAAUACCCAAAAAAUAAUAAAAUAAUUAAAGCAUAAGAAAGAUCUCACAGUAGUGAUGAAUCAAACCUUCAUUAACCUUCAACCAGAAUAAUAGGUUUAGUUCCUCAUAGAGAAAAGAGAAAAAUUUAGAUCUAGGGUUUUUCUCUUUUCAAAAAUCUCUCCUUUUCACAAUACAUUCCUCCCUUAAAUUCUCUUCUCCCUCUUCUCCUCUAAAGUUCUUUUUACAAUAAAAUACUGAUAUCUAAAAUAUUAUCUAAAUAUUAAAUUCAUAAUUACAAAAAUAACCAAAAAUAUAAAAUACGUUAAACUAAAAACUGUAGGUCCGCAGUUGACAGCAUGUGCCCACACCUUAUCAACACAGUUUUUCUGAAGCUCAUAAUUUCUCCAAGAAAUCAAUGAUCCUCAAAUAUCAUCUUGUAGCUCAAUUUUAGCACCAAUCAAUAGAAUUGCACCUACAAAAAUAAAACACAAGUAAAUCACUAUUAUUAAGUGCAAAACAUCGAUAUUAAAGGAAGUAAAUAAUGCAAAACUAGUGCAUAAAUUGUACUCUAACAAAAAGACUACAUCAAAGUUGUUGCCAAGAAUCAAGUUAAUUUAUUUUCUGCUUUGUUUUUAUCUAGUUGUUAAUAUUGAUUUGAUUUGGCUGGAUUUGAGCCAAGGUUUUAGGCUACAAAUCAGUAGUAUACUUUAUGUUUAUCUGUAUAAAUAAGCAGCAACCAUGACGAUUGAAAGGAAGGAAAUUAGUCAAAACAAAUACUGGUUGUUCAUACCAUAAAUUGAACGAAUAUCAGGCACUGCUUUUCUGUAUUUGAUCGGGACCUAUCAGACUAUUGCUGACAGCAAGAGAUAAUAAUGUGCUUUUAAGUAUGGGCUCCAAAGAUAACUUUUUGAUUGGCAAUCUAACUGAACAAGAAGCCUGGCGAUUGUUUAAGAUAAUGAAUGGUGAUGAUGUUGAAAGUUGUAAGUUCAAGUCUACAGCAAUUAAUGUGGCUAAGGCAUGUGGAGGUUUGCCCAUGCGUUGACUACUGUAGCGAGGGCACUGAGAAACAAGAGUCUCCAUGAAUGGAAGAAUGCCUUGCGAGAGCCUUCAAUGGUAAACUUCGAAGGGGUGCCUGCAGAGACUUAUUCAAGUAUUGAGCUGAGUUUCAAUUAUUUAAAAGGUGAGCAAGUCAAGAAAAUUUUUCUGCUUUGUCGUCUAGUAGGUAACAGUGUUUGGUUUUCAGACUUAUUUAGAUACUCCAUGGGUUUGGGCAUAUUUCAAGGAGUCAACAUUCCCUUCCUAUUUACCAAAGGUAAGUGAUAAAUCCUACAUAUCCCACUCAAGAAUGCAUAAGUUUCUUCAAUCUCAAGUACCUAAAGUUUUCUUCUACGUUUAUAAAAAUUUCAGCACCAUCUCCCUAUAAUUCUCCAAGCUCACGACGUAGCUAUAUAAGUGUUUAUGCGUUAUGCCAAAACAACACAUGACACCCAUUCACCUAGUACGUACCCAGAGAACACGAGGAGCAGCUACCGAAAAACCCAUUUUUACGUGGGAAAAAAACUUCAGCUACUAGCUACCAGAGAGAACUAUGCAUUCCCAAACUGUCCAAGCCUGGACAAUUCAAGAAUUAUUAAUAGACAUAUGAUCCUCACUAUCAUCCAAAGAUGACACUAAUAAAACAUGUGUCUAUUAAUAAUUUCUUAAACAAGUCUAAGCUUUCAAUGCACGUAUCAAAAGUUUAAAAUUGAAUCUGAAAUUUGAAUAACACAUAAAUAUCAUAAAUCUCUUCAAUUUAUUCCUGAUACAAUGUAGCAUUAUUUCACAUAUCAUUUCUUAAGCAAAACCAUAAAAAAUACAAACGAUAAAUACAUUUUCGCACUGAUGCAGAUUAUGUUUACUGAGCAAUAAGUUUUAAGUCAUUCAUGUUGAAAUACUUCUUCCUAUUCUUUCAACAUAUAACUAGUACGUACACACAAUUAAUAAAUUAAAAAAAAACCUGGUAGUGAAUCUUGGAAAAUCUUCCUUCUUUCUUUUUUUUUUGGUGGGAGGGGGGGGGGGGGGGGGGUGGUGGUUGGGGGAACUAUGAAUCUUGCAAAUCCUCGGGAAGCCAUGUUAAGACAAGGCCAGCUUACUAUUAGGGUAUGAAAGAUAAAACCUUUUAUUUCCUUUUCAGAAUAAAAAGAAUAUUGACAAUGUUAAAAAACAUCUAGAGGAUUUCAGGUCUCCAGAUCCUUACAAAUCAAGGAUAUUAAAAAAAUUUACUUAGAGGAGAAAGGUUAUGCUCAUUUGUAUCUUGUUAGAAGAAAUUGAUCCAAAGCCUCAUUUUUAAUUAGCUUCAUAUAGCCAAUGAUUAGGUGUUUAAAAACCAAUGAAUAUUUUUAUAAGAAAUCAACAAUAUUGUUGAAAGAAAAACCAAAUAAAAUUAAUAAAGCCAAUGAAUAGAUCAAGGCUCUUUGUGGUCUAAUAACUAAUCAAACUAAGUUGUGGGCAAAGGCGAAUAUGUUUGUUUGGUCAAUAAUAAGCUCAACAAAUCACUAAUAAUCACCUAAUCACUAUUCCUUAUGCUAUGCAAUAUAAUGGCCUGGGUAAUGGCGCCAAGGCAGACAAUAACUAGCUAGCCAGUUAUGAUAGUUGAUUAACUUAACCUACUGGAAAUCUGAAGACCAAAACGAAGAAGCUUUGCCUAGAACUACAAUAGGAACAUUCAUACCCAAAACUAAUAUACACGAUUAAGAAACUUGAUUAUAUGUAUAUUUUUGUUGGCCACACUUAAAGAGAAUUUUCAAAAGAUGCUAAGGUACACCAAAUCCCACUAUUUCAAACUCAUAAACACAAAAAACCAUGGCAAAAAUUAAUGACUAUAUAAAAUAAAAUCGGUCAUGGGGCAUUGAGAUUAGGACAACUUGAUUUGUAUACCGUAAAAUAACUAUAUCUGCAUAGUGAACUAUAUUUCUGUUAGAACUCUGAAGUUUUCUAUUAAACUUUUUUCUCUGUUAGGUAAACCACUUAACUAAAAUGCUUAAGCCAAUAUUGACAAUCAUAGACAUAAAAGUAUUAAUAGGCUCACUCAAGUGAAAUGAGCAUUAUUUCACACAUCCUUUAGGUUUUUAAGUCAUUUAGAAGUCAUUCAUGUUAAAAAAAAAAAACAAAUUCAUAUACUUUCAAUAUAAUUACUGCAUACACAAUUAACUAAUUAAAUAAAUCUGUUUCAGCUAGUAUAGGAACUUAAUUAAUCAAAGCUAGUAGUUAUAGCUAGGACUUGAACGAGGCACCUUUCAAAGUUCAAGAAGAGCAUCUGAACAGAAUGAAAGCACUUUGUAGAAAUGGUAAUGAUGCUUUACAUCUACAUGCUCUUACACAAUAUGAACUUUCAUUGAUUCAAGAACAUAACACUAAUCCAAGCUCUUACUCUACAAGUCAAUUCAGUUUGUAGAUGCAAGCCAUUGUAAAAACUUUUGACAUUACUAAUUAAUAUAGAAUCAGCAAUGUUAUAUAACUUAUUAGACAAUAUAACAAGCACUUGGCGAGCAUAUAAGAUAAACUAAAACAAGUUAAUUAGAAAAUGAAACUAAAACCCAAGCUCCGCUAUUCAUUGUAGAAGCUUUAAACAUAAAAUUAAAGUAAAUCUAAUGGCAAAACAUUAGAAUCGAUGUUGGAAUUAAAGCUAAAUUCAAUAGUAAUCCAAAUGAAUCCAUUUGAACUUUGUAAACUCCGCAGAACAAAAUUAAUUUGAGUGAGCAAACUCAUCAAUGGCACAAGAAAACAGGGGCUUCAACUUGUAGGAAUAAAAAUAUAUUGCUGGCGGGACAAAAAUUGACAAUAACGGCUACAAUGCGAAUUAAAAAAAAAUCAAAAUCUAUAAUUACAAGCUAAGUAAGAGAAGAAACUCAUAAUCACAAGCUUACCUCAAAAGAUGAAGGGAGAAGACGAUGAAGAAGAAGAUGGCCCGUGUUUUACGCAGUUCGCCGGCAACCAGUUAGGCUUACGAUGGUGGCUAGUAACACGGAGUCCAGCGAAUAGUUUUAAAUUUAAAAUUCUAAAAUAGUAAUAUACCGAACGGCUCUUUACGCGGGUAGUAACUAACAUAUGUGAUAGCGGUAUGGCCGUCACAUAAAGGGUAACAAAAGCAAGUCGGGGUACAAAGCUAGAGCCUAGAAGUUAGUGAUAUACGUAAUGGCUUCUUUUGCAUUCACAUUAGGGGUCACAUAUACCCUAGUUUCUUGUAGUACAUGGUAAACUAUAUUUGUACGAAUUCAUUUUUGUGUGCUUGUUGGAUAAUAAUAUAUAAUAAAUUAAAAUUUGGUGUAAUUUUCACAAUAUUGUAUUAUAAAUAUGUCUCGUUCAGAGGUUUUGAAAUCGUUUUGAUUGAUCAUAAUUGAUAUUUCCACAGUUGCAAAAGAUGCCAAAGAAAAUUUGAUUAUCUUAAGAAAUGAGUGCAUGAGAUAUGAAAUCAACCAUACCAUAAAAUCAAAUUUUAUCGUGUCAUCCUUCCUGGUUCAAAUUUAUGGAAACAAUAAUCAAAUGCAUCCAUGAACUAGUAUAUUCCGACAUAUGUACCAUCAAAUUUUUGCUAUGUCAUACUUAUACACACACACAUAUAUAUAUAUAUUGAAAUUUUAUUAACAACAAUUGGGCCAAGCAUAUGUUGGUACUUGAAGAUUUAGAAGCUCCAUCCUUGAAAAAAUAAGGCUUGACUGUUAUCAAUCUAAUUCUUUUUGUUUUAAGUUCUUAAUUAAGCUUUCUUGCUUGUUUUCAAGAGCCAGUUUUGUAGUGAUCGACAAACAUGAUUUGCAUAUAAUGCACUUGGCAUUUAUGUGUCACUUAUUAAUUAGAUUUAAAUUCUAUACAUUAGUUAAGCUGAUUAAUACUUUAUACUUGCACUAAAUGAUAAAUACUACAUAAAUUGAGAACACUAGUAACUAUGUAUCCCAACUAUGUAAUAUUUGUUUGUCACAAACCCAAUCAUGGCCUAAUAUUCUAAAUGUUAUUUAGGAUACCAUUUCAAGCCCCAUGAGGGCUCUUUCCGUUUAAAAAAAACAAGUAAGAAAUAGAUGUAGAUAGCCAUAAUGAUUUAAUUUCUACUGCAUACAUAGCUGUAAUUAUUUUAAAAGCUACAGGAUUACCAAAUUGACCCUAAAUCAAACCAAUAAAAAUGUUUAAAAGUAAUAAUAAUAAACCAAAGUAAACGUACAAAAAUUCAUGCAUAAAUUGAUAAUCAAUAAAAACAUUCAAAAGUUUAACUCCAACUUUUCUAUAAAUUUCAAAAGGCAUUAUCAAUUUUGUGUCUAAUUCUACAAAAUUAGAAAACUAAAGAAUAUUAUGUAAUUGACAUAACCCUUAAAUUUCAAAAGGCAUUAUCAAUUUUGUGUCUAAUUCUACAAAAUUAGAAAACUAAAGAAUAUUAUAUACUGAUAAUUAAAUAAUAUGCAAUUAAUAAUGUUAAAAAAAUAAUUUUAAACAUAUUGUCAACUAAAAUAAAUGGGAGAAUUGGAGUUCCAAGAUAAAUUCUUAUCUAGUUCCAAAUCAACAAUUGGGAUUAAUUUCAAUAUUAAACCCCGACUGCUUUUAAAAUUGAUCCUAAUGAUAUGGACAAAUCCCAUUCUGAUCAGUAUGGAAUCCCAAUCCCAUACCUUUAGAUUUCGAUGGUGUUUAGUUGGAGGGAGGAGAGGGGAAGGAAAUGAAUUCAAAUUCCUUUCACUUUUUCUGUUGUUUGGUUUUCACUAAUAUAUGGGAAAUCCAUUUCUAUUGAAAUUUAAUUUUCAUCAAAUUGUGAAUUUUGGAUUCCUCAACGAAGGCUGUAAAAUUCAAAUUCCCCUCCUAUUAGAAAUCAAAUCUUCCAAAAUGGCUCCUCUCAAAUAUUUAUCAAUUAUUUUAAUUCUUAUCAAAUAAUUCUUAUUCAUGAUUUUAUUUAUGAUUUUAUUUUUUAAAUUCAAAUUGUCACUAAGGAGUCUGACUUACUACCACAGAAAAGCAAAAAAAAAAAAAAAAACAGUUUAUAGAUUAUGAUAAUUCUAUAUAUUGUCUGAGAAUUGCAAUCCCGUAGCCGAAGUAGUUUUUAAGUACAGAAUUUCAGUCAUUUCUAUUUAAUUUUUUUUUUAAAUGUGAAUUGGAGGGAUCAAGAGCAGCUCACUGGAGGUUGAGGCCGACAUGGAAUCUGAUUAUCAGGAGAUCCGAGUGCAGGGAGGAUUCAAUAGUGAACCCGAAUGAAAUCGGGCGGGUGGGCCUGCCUAUGUGUUUUUCCAAUCCAUAUUAAAAGGAGUUUCUUUUACAAAUACAUAUUGGACAUAUUUUGACAUGUCGUACUAAAUUAAGCCAUCAAAAAUUGCUGGGAAGGGAGUAAUAUCUAUUUAUAACUGGAAAUUACUCACCGUACAAUGAUGGUUGGAGCUGCAUGUAUCAUUUAUUAUUAACAACUAACUUAUGAAAUGCUUUGAAUGUACCUCCUAGGUCGUAUUUACUAUACCGGUUAGGAGAAACUAUAAUAUUAAAUUAUUUGAUAAAUACUUAUUAUAAUUUAAAAAAUAUAUUAAUUUUGUCCUCCACUUUAUGAUAACAAAAUUAUAAUAUAAAUAAAUUAUUCAUUCUAUAAUCUUAAACUUUAUUAAAAUUCGAAAAACUAUUACUCUAUAUGAUAUAAUAGUGUGAUGUUAUUACACUAUUAUACCAUAUAAAAUAUAUUUGCUUUCUUAAAUUUUAAUAAAUUCUAGGUCUUGGACAGAAGCACUUUAUAUAUAUGUAUAUAUAAUAAUUCUCUAGUAACGACAUUCUCAUUUUAACAAAGUGAUGAUAUCGCUAACAAACUAAAUAACACACAUUUCAAUACACCAAUAGAUUAAAAAAAUACAAUUUUUAAUGUGUUAAAAUAUAUGUCUUUUGUAUAUUAUUGAUAUUUUCACUUUAACAAUGUGAGGGUCUCCUCACUAUAGAAGUACUUUAUAAAUAUUUUGUAUUUUUUUAAAAAAUUAUUAUUUAAAAGUCAUAUCUGACCAAGACUAAUAAUUUUUAUUUUAUUACUAUACUGUACUUUCAAGACAGAACACUUCAAUACCAUGACCUUAAUUUUUCAACUCUCUUGUACAAAGUUGUUGGCUGGUCUAUUUAGUUUAGUCUUUCAAUCAUUUGUCGUUUGAACUGAGAUGAUCCGAAUAAAGCUAUAUAUCAAUAAUUUCCUAGUGAAACUUUGGGAAAAAAUAAAAAUCAUGUCAUACAGUAGCAUUAUUUUAAUUCACAGCUUGAUUAUGUUUUGAGUUAACUUAUAGAUUAUUUGAAAUAAAAAGACUAUAAUUUAAUUUUUCCAACUAAAUAUUUUUAAAUAAUUUUGUUAAUUUAAUGAGUAAUUAUACACUUACAAAGUUACGAUAUAAAAUUAUAUCCCAGAAUCUCAAUAAUAUGACACCAAUUAACUACUGCUAUGUGUUUCUUAGUAAUUAACUUUUUAUACUAUUAUCAAUGAGAAAAUUAACUUCAACACCAAUAAACAAAUUUUAUAUUAAUACAUCCUCUAGGUUUAUUAUCAAAUAAUCAUGUCAUAAUCAAACCAAGCUACCAGAGCCUACUACUAAAAGAUUGAUUAAAGGGUUUUCCAAGUUUGAAAAAGUUAGUAGCAUUGGCAAAUGGCAACUCCCAGGAAUCUUCCUACUACAAUCAACCAUUCAGUGAAAUUCCCAAAUGGCACAAAGGACCCCGCCACCCGUUAAGUCACAUCAUUUAUUUAUUUGUGAAUGAAAAAUAAGGUUUCGAUCGUAAGAAAUGAACACCUUAUAAUGCAUGAUUACCUGUAUGUCAAGUUUGGCGAUUAUAAGUCAUCAUCACAAUAACUUUGGAGCGGAGCUAUCGGCACCCCCUUGAUAUCCUUUUCAAACCCCUUUUCUGCUUAUUUCCUCCUCAAUCCCUAAAAUAGCCUUUAUCUGUAAUUUUUCCGCAAACAAUUUCAACCUCCUUUCAGUUAUCACUCUUCAACCACUCCCACUUCAAGUUUCUUCUUUUUAUAGGAAAGGCUUUUGAUAACAACCCAAUAUUUUUUUGUUUUAAUUUUAUACUUUUCAGUUUAUGACAUUAUAUUUUAAAAUAAAUAUGUAUAAAAUACACACAAGGUUUAGUUAUCUCCUAGCAUUCUAAUAACGUUAGUAAUUUAUGAAAAUUUUAUAAAAUUAUCUUUCCUACAAAAAUAAAUUGUUAAGUGAAAAAAAUACUUUAUAUCAAAUUCUUACUCUUUUACCAUUGACCUUUUUUUUUCAAAAAAAAAAAUGGAACUUUUAAGUGCUUUAGUGGAGAAAGAGUCGGUGAGAAAAAAUCAUAUAUGAAUUUAAUAAGAUAAGAUUUAAGGGACAAAAUUGUAAAUGUAUAACAAGAGGGGUUUUAUAAGAAAAAUACAGGGGUGCCAAUAGCGUCACUCUAACUUUGGGCUUUGAUAUUUAAGGCUCCGUUUCGGACAAAUGCGUGGCAAUUGGACAACACAUCACUCAAUUAUAGAGUGUGAAAUAUUGAUAUUGUUCUUAUUAUUUUACGUAAUGUAUACAUUUUUCCUCUUAUUUUUGUUUGUUUAUUUAUUUUUGAUACUUAAUAAAUAUAAAUUUAUUUUUUAAUAUUUAAUAAAUAAUCCUAACCAGGCAAUAUUGCCAGAAAAUAACGAACAAUGAUCCAAAUCCUUUUAUUUUACAUAAAUAAUUUCAAUUCACAACAACUAUGACGUUACAUUACCAAACAAACACUAAAUAUUUUGAUUAUUGUAGUUUAUCUUUCAUUCAUAACAUGAAGAGUUUGAAAUAUGAUAUCAAAACAAAGAGUAUGACAUGUCGUGUUGUGUUCACAGAAGAAAUGUAAGCCAUGUCAUCCGAAAACUAAAAGGAACGUAUGACAAUCAGAAGCUGUCAUCUCUGAUUUGCUUACACUUUUAAGGAUAAAUUCUGGGUUUUCAGUGACAAUUAAAAGCUAGAGUGAGAAUUAGAGAGAGAGUUAGAUAUUCUUAUUCCUAGUCACUUGCUAUAUUUUGUAGGUCUUUUGUGACUCCAAUGAUAAAAUCGCUCAAUAUUUUUUUUUUGAUAGAGCCAUAUUUUUUAAAGCAUAAAGAAAGGCAGAAAUAUUGUAAAUCCAACUUAAAUUUUCUGUUCAUUGUGGUCGCUGCUAGUGCUAGCUGUUUUCUUAUUUAACUUUGUUCCCUUUUGCCAUCAGCUCUUUGCAUUUUCAUUGGAGCAAGCGACCCUUUUCUUGUUUCAAUUUCUGAUCUCAAAAGCACUCUGAUUCUCUGGACACUGAUUUUCUCCUUGUUUUGUACAAAUAUCAUUUCUCUUUCCCAUUUAGCCUUGAUUUGCUUCUACUUGACUAUCAAUUGCCCAGUCGUUGACCCUGUUGUAUUUCUAGUUCGUUCACUCCCCCCCCCUCCCCCCCAAAAAAAAUGGACAUUUUGAAAAGCAUUGUCCUAGGAGUUGUAAACUGCUUUGCUCCUCUAGCACAACACGAAUUUAGUUAUUGGCAUAACUCCGGUGCUAACUUUGACAAUCUCAAGGCAGAACUCGAUAGGCUCAAGGAUAAAAGAGAAAGAAUUCAGCGCAGAGUUUCUGAGGCUGAAAGAAAAAAGUGAAAAGAUUGAAGAGAUGGUUGAGAAAUGGCUGGUUAAUGUGAACAAGAGAAUUGACCAGGCAGCCAAAUUCAUUCAAGACGAAGAGGCAGCAAAUGAUGGCCGAUGUCUCAUGGGGCUGUUUCCUGAUUGGUUUGCUCGCUAUCAGCAUGGAAAGAAAGCAGAAACAGAGAAGGAGGCCCUUUCUAAACUCCGAGAAUAAGCUGAGAGAUUUGAUAAUAGAAUUUCCUACCCUACCAUUCGGGAGGAUAUAUGGCUCAAGUCUAACAAAGACUACGAGAACUUCGAAUCAAGACUUACUACUUUCAAGGAUAUACGAAAGACAUUAACUGAUGUUAAUGUCAGCAUCAUUGGGGUGUACGGCAUGGGCGGCAUUGGAAAGACGACACUGGUGAAGGAGUUUGCUAGGCGAGCCAUUGAAGACGAGCUUUGUGAUAUGGUGGUUUUUUCGGAGGUUACCCAAAGUCCAGACAUAAAACAGAUCCAAUAGGAAAUUGCGGAAAAGCUAGGCCUAGAGUUGUCCGAGGAAGCUGAGUUUAGAAGAGCUAGUAGAAUAUUUGAAAGAUUGAAGAAUGAGAAGAAGAUCCUUAAGAUUCUGGAUAACAUCUGGAAAUCUCUUGAUUUGGGGACUAUUGGAAUUCCUUAUGGGGUUGAGCAUAGAGGAUGUAAAUUAUUAUUCACUACAAGAGAUCUUGAUGUGCUGAUAAGGAUGGGAUCUGAGAAACAAAGAGCUGCCUGAGUGGAAGAAUGCCAUGCAAGAACUCCAAAUGCCUUCAGAGACAAGCUUCGACGAAGGAGUACCAGCAGAGGCACACUCAACAAUUGAGCUGAGUUACAAGUAUUUAGGUAAGCAACUCAAGGAAACGAUUUUACUAUGUAGUCUUAUUGCACCAACUUCAAUUAUGGACUUGAUCAAUUAUAGCAUGGGUUUGGGGUUUUUUGAAAGUGUCCUUAAGCUAGAAGAGGCACAUAACAAAUUACAUGCAUGGGUCCGUCAACUAAGAGACUCUUGUUUGCUGCUUGUGGAUGGUAGCAGUAAAUUCUUUUCUAUGCAUGAUGUUCUUCGCGAUGUUGCCAUUUCAAUUGCAUGUCGUGACAUGAAUGCAUUUGUGGUGAGAAAUAAGAAUAUGUGGGAAUGGCCAAAUCCAGAUGCAUUAAAAAAAUAUCUUGCAAUCUCUUUAAUAAAUAGUCGUAUUAAUGACAUUCCUGAAGGGCUGGAAUCUGCACAACUUGAAUUUUUACUUAUGAUUCCCAAGAACUCUUUUUUUGGGCUCAAUAUUCCUGAGAACUUCUUUAAAGGGGUGAAAAAGCUUCGGGUUGUAGCUUUGGUAAAAAUGCGGUUAUCAUCAUUGCCAUCUUCAAUCUAUCUUCUAGUAAAUCUUCAAACACUUUGCCUUGAUCAAAGCAUUUUGAGAGACAUAGACAUAGCCAUUAUUGGAAAGUUGAAAAAUCUAAAAAUCCUUAGCUUUGUGCGGUCUGAUAUUGUGCAGUUGCCUAAAGCACUAGGUGAACUGACUAAGCUACGGCUGUUAGAUUUAACAGACUGUUUCCAUCUAAAAGUUAUUGCUCCAAAUGUCAUAUCAAGCUCAACCCGAUUAGAAGAAUUGUAUAUGGGUAAUUGCCCCAUUGAAUGGGAGGUUGAAAGAUCCAAUAGUAAAAGAAGUAAUUCUAGCCUUGAUGAAUUGAUGAAUUUACCUUGGCUAACCACUCUAGAAAUUGAUGUUAAAAAUGACAGUAUUUUACC
Molecule: long non-coding RNA, 45321 nt
Filed under: Citrus maxima (pomelo)
Lineage: Eukaryota; Viridiplantae; Streptophyta; Magnoliopsida; Sapindales; Rutaceae
Description: long non-coding RNA (CMAX_LNC000104)
Source: RNAcentral